Molecule: long non-coding RNA, 60032 nt
Filed under: Brachypodium distachyon (stiff brome)
Lineage: Eukaryota; Viridiplantae; Streptophyta; Magnoliopsida; Poales; Poaceae
Description: long non-coding RNA (BDIS_LNC003781)
Source: RNAcentral
CUGCUGAAUAUAUGUUGCGUUUGGUCUGGGGUGCAGUGAGGAUAUGUAAGAGGGAAUAUUUUGCUUGCCACUGAUUCGUUAAGGACAGUCUGUUAGGAGUAGUACAGCAGCAGAGAGCGAGUGCGUCAUUCGGCUUUCAUGCAAUGCAUGUAUAUAUGCAUAUCCUUGCUCGAUCUCUUCUUCUCCCUGGUGUUAAACUGACAGGCACCGUUAAUUUAAUCUCUCAUGUACUACUACUAAGCUAGCGUGUUGUUUUAUCUAUCUCCCUCUUUGACUGAUAGUAUAGUGGUAGCAGUACAUAGCUAGCGUGUGGUGUGUUUGAUUUAACUUUUCAGUGUCCUUGACCCUGUUUUAUCUCCUGUUUGACUGCAAGUACCUACUAGCUAGCUAUAGUUUACGGCGUUAAGUUUGAUUAACUUCUCAGUGUCCUUGUCCCCUGUUUUAUCUUAUCUCCUGUUUGACUGCCUCUUUAACUAACUAGUGUCUGGUGGUCUGGUGUUUGGACAUGCGUGCCAUGCAUGUUACCACGCACGUACCAGCGAAUCAACUAGAUAGAUUAAAAAUCGUGUGUCCUGCGCUAUAGAUUAACUAUGAUGUCCCGCACGUAACAUACGUGAGUCCACAUUGUUGAGAACAUACAUGAGUGAAAAGUAGCAACAAAAAAGUAUCCAGUGAAAAUGUAUAAAUGUGUAUAAUGAAAUUGUAUAAUAGAUUAUAGAUUUUUCAUUAAUGUAUAAUGAAAUUGUAUAAUAGAUUAUAGAUUUUUCACUUAAUGAAAAUAGCUCGAUGAAAAGUAGCAUGCAUGCAUGUGCAAAAAAUAUGAGUUUUCCACUAAAUAGGUGUGAACAAAUUAAUGGUGUGAUGAUGUGGCGUGCACGAUAGAUUAUAGAUUCUUCACUUAGUGAAAAUAGUUUGAUGAAAAGUAUCAUGCGUGCAAAAAAUAUGAGUUUUUCAGUAAACAGGUGUGAACAAAUUAAUGGUGCGAUGAUGUGGCAUGUUUGCAUGUUAAGAGAAAUCAAGUAGUGGGUUUCUCCUACUUAGAUAUAAAAGAUUACUAGCUACUAUUAAUCUUAUAUUAUUACUCAAGUACCAGAGUAGUAGUAUAUGAGAUGAUGAAGGCAACGAUCUGUGUGUGAAUUAAUGUCAUUUCUCAGAAGUGUAUAUAUCUUGUGCACUGGGAACAAAUGCAGAUUAAGCAUAACCGAUCGACGACGACCCAGCAUGAAGCAAUUGAGGAAACACUCAAGUUGCAAUCAAAUUAACUGAAAAUGGUUGGAAACGGGCAAAGGCGGAAAGGGACCAAGGCUAGGCCAGCGAUCGAACCAAGGAAUGCGCCAAAUAAAGAGUACGUAGUAGAUAGAAAAAUAUGUAUUAUGUAUAGCAGCAUGGCAACGAUCCUAGCUGGCCCCAGAAAUAUAUACCGGAGAGAUUUGCUCCUCAAAGGGGUGUGUGACGCUGAGACAUACUUUGUUGGCCGUACGUGCAUGCAUGGUUGGAUCCGGCCAUAUGGGGAUAUAUUGGAUUGGGCGUGAGCAAGAAGACUGCUAAAAACAGACGCCGGGGGACCGUUUGCUAGAUCUCCUAUCUCCUCCUCACUCACCAUAUAUCGACAGCUGAUCCUGUCGAGAUAUGCAUGUGUGGAGCAAAUACCGUGCCCGUGCAGGCCAUCCGAUCAGGAAUCAAGGGCUGAGAUUGUCGUCGUCGCACGAGGAAGGAGAUACUUGUGUUUUUUGAUAUCUUCCUUUGAGGAUGGACACAAGAGUAGCCGUCAUAUUCGGCCGCGGUACAAAAAGAUAGUACAAAAAAUGCGAUAGAAAAACGAGGAUGUAAUUAACCGUGUUCGAUAUGCAACAAAGGAGGUCUUUUACUGUCAAAACAAAUAGUGGUAGACACACACCUAUAUAUAUGCUAAAUAAGUGGCCCAUUGUAGUUUUUAUAUGCUACCACUCCCGUGUUGCAAGAGAACAUGUUCUCUCGAAGCAAAGGCGUCUAAAGUUUUAAAAUUCACAAAUGGUCGUUGACCUUUUGCAACCAUGGUUGUUAAUUAGCAUAAUUAGAAUGCAACUUUGGCACCACUGCACGACCCUAAUCAGACAUAUAUCACCAGCCUGAUCCCAUUUUAGCGCUGAUCCAAGAGUGCAACAGCCGUGCAAGCAUAUCGUCUCUGCCUCUGCAGUUUUCUACUCAAAAGUCAACCAAGCAGCUUGCGAAUUCUGACACGUGAGAAAAUCAUACCCUCUAGAUACACCCACAAUACAAACUAACUGAUUCUACCAACUUUCGGAACAUAUGCAUUGAACUGGAUCCUCGUCGUUUCAACUGAAUGAACAUAGCAUAUAUGUGUUCUUCCAGUUAAAGCAUUGAGCAGCCAAAUUUGAACACUCGGAGAAUCUGAAUGAAUUGAAUGAUCUGUUCGGACAAUCUGCAUAGGCUCAUGCUGUCCCUCUGAUAGAGGAACACAGACAUGUUGUGCAAUGAAAUGAGAUGAAGUUAUGAUCCAAUUGGAGUUGGACACAGGGCCCACCCUGGGAUGAGUCUAUAUAGCAACAAUCAAGCAAUGUCCCAUAUGGACAUGCACAGAGACAAAGGCCACCCCUCCAUUGAAGAUGGUCUUUUCCUUUCCCCAAGCCAAACAAACACACCUCCCUUCAGACCAGCCAAGGGACACCAACCCAAAACCCACUGCCUGCCCAUACACAAGCAAAGCAACAAGACAGAUGAAAAUGCAUCCCAUGAUAAAAAUCCACAAGUAGGGCAUGUCCUCCCUCCCUCCCCCAUAACCAAAUAUAUAUACUGGUAGCAGGACUAGGUGAGCUUCUCCAGGCCUUCAUAGUACAGCAGCAGUGGAGGAGGAGAGUUCAGAGGGGCACCACCACCACCACAAGUACACUCAGAUUUGGGUGUAGGGGGGCGAGAGGUGCAAAGGAGAAGUAUCCCUUUUGCCUCAGCAGCACCUGCUGCUUUCUUCUUCUUCUCUUUGUGCAAGCAAUUGCAACAAGAAACAAUGAUGGCCUGUGGGUCUCGUCAUGGCAACGCCGAGGUUGUCGAUGAGUUUGAGAAGCUGGUCAUCAGGAUGAACCCUCCAAGGUUUCUUUUUCAUCUUUCUUUCUUUCUUUCCAACCCAAACCCCAUGUCUGUCCCCUUGUUUGAAUUGGGAACUGAAUUGGUUGCAGGGUGACGGUGGAUAAUGAGUCCGACAUCACCGCCACCUUGGUCAAGGCAAGCAUUAAAAAGCUUUCAUCUGCUAUCUGCAUAUAUAUACAGUUAUCUUGGUUCUUAAUUUGCAGGCAUUUUUCAGAGGAUUGAGUUGAAUUGUUUUCUGACGCUCUGUGUUUGUCGUUCUGUCUGUUGCUGCAGGUGGACAGCGCGAACAAGUACGGGACGUUGCUGGAGGUGGUUCAGGUGCUGACCGAUCUGAAGCUCACCAUCAACAGGGCCUACAUUUCCUCUGAUGGGGAGUGGUUCAUGGAUGGUGAGUGAGUGAGAGUGUGCUCGAUCUCCUCCUGUAAAGAUUGAGGAAGAAGCUAGCUAAGCUUGCUAGUAGUUAGUUCCCUUUUCUCGCUUUUGGUUCUGGGUGCAAGUAAAAAAUCUUGCCGUCUUUUUGAGCUCCAUCGUCCCUGAUGAGAGGGUGGGUUGCCGGGGGCAACAACUUUUGUGGGUGCAGUGUUCCAUGUCGUGGAUGAGGAAGGGAAUAAGCUUUAUGACGGCCAAGUCAUCGACAGGAUUGAACAGGUAAAGUACUUGCAAGGAAGAAUCAUUGCUCUCAUGCUCUCUCCCCCUCAUCUUAUUAGCUUCUGUAGUACAGCUGCCAGCUAACGAAUGGUUUCAGUUCCAAGAACAGAGCAAGUACAGAGCAAUGUCCUUCAGUGAGUGAGUUCACUGCAAUUGCAAUGCAAUUGAUUUCGUCUUGUUGGUUGUUUCAGUCUCUGGGAGCCGGGUCGCUGAGCUUCCGUGCCACGGACGCCGAGACGGAGACAGCGGCGGCGGCAAUGGCGCAGGCAACGGCGAUCGAGCUGGUGGGCAGGGACAGGCCGGGCCUGCUGUCGGAGGUGUUCGCGGUGCUGACGAACCUCCGCUGCAACAUCGCGUCCUCCGAGGUCUGGACCCACGACGGGCGCAUGGCCGCCCUGGUGCGCGUCACGGACGCCGACACCGGCGCCGGCAUCGAGGAAGACGACGACCCGGAGCGGCUCGACACCGUCAAGCGGCUGCUCCGCCACGUGCUCCGCGGCCGCGCCGCCGUCCAGGCGCGGCCGGGCGGCGCGCUGCACGCGCACCGGCGGCUGCACCAGAUGAUGAGCGCCGACCUCCGCAGCCGCGCCGCCGCUGCCGGCGCCGGAGACGAAGAAGAAGAAGAUUGCGAGGGGGUUGUUGUGGGGGUGGAGGAGUGCGCGGAGAGAGGCUACACGGUGGUGAACGUUCGCUGCCGGGAUAGAGCCAAGCUGCUGUUCGAUACUGUCUGCACGCUGACGGAUAUGCAGUACGUCGUCUUCCACGGCACCGUCAUCGCCGAGGGCUCCGAGGCAUACCAGGUAGUACAGCACAUGAUUAUACUGUUUAAAUUACAGCAUUGCGCCAUUGGUUCCUUCCUGUGCUGCUCAGCUCAUGCAUUGCAUUUGACCAGCUAGAGUAGCAGUAGCAGAGAGCAGUGAGCAGCAGAGAUGCUUGCCUGGGUUGUUAGAUACUGGUAGAUCUUGGCAUGUGACGAGAGGAGAGAGCAGAGAUCCUUUCCUGCCUGCCUGCCUGCCUAGUUUUGUGUGCAACACUUGACUGACUCACAACCAUCACUGUCCCAGUCCUGCAACACAAACAAACAUCCUUUUUUUCGCUCACGAGCACAUGCUGACGGACGGACGGAAUCUAAUCUCUGGCUGCAAUUGCGUUUGCAGGAGUUCUACAUCCGGCACCUCGACGACGGCGCCGCCGCCUCCGCCUCCGCCGCCGACCGCGCCCGCCUCCGCCGCUGCCUCCAGGCCGCCAUCCAACGCCGCAACACCGAGGUACAACAUUCAGACAAGAGCCUCUUCAGACAAACAAUAAUGUUUCUGAGUUCUGACUUUAAUGUAACUAACUGAAAGUGCCUUAAUCUGUUAGGGGGUGGUGGGGCUGGAGCUGCGGUGCGAGGACAGGCCGGGCCUGCUGUCGGACGUGACGCGGGUGUUCCGGGAGCACGGGCUCUCCGUCACGCACGCCGAGGUGGCCACGUGGGGCACCCAGGCGGCCGACGUGUUCCGCGUCGUGACGGCGUCGGGGGACGCGCCCGUGCCGGCGCGCGCCGUGGACGCCGUCCGGGCGGAGGUCGGCGAGGACAUCCUCUUUAUCAAGGAUGAUACCCUCGCCGCCUCCGCCAAUGCUGUGGGUGGGCCUGUGUCGCCGACGGGUCGUGGCGGCGGCGACGGCCGGCGGUCGCUCGGGAACAUGAUCAGGUCUCGGUCCGAGAAGUUCCUCUUCAACUUGGGCCUCAUCAGGUCCUGCUCCUAGACAGCUAGUAGUAGCUCAAGCUGACCAAAGAGUCAACGUCAACGACCGUUGCAGUGCAGCCACCACUAGGUAGCUUAGCCAAGCUAAGUGCUGCUCUAUGUAGGUUGUUCUUGGAUCGAUCAAUCGAUCCUCUUACAUUUGUCUGAGUUUUAAUUCCACUUCUCGGAUGAAAAGGAACCUGGCUAGCUAGCUUAGCUUGCUUGCGGCCGGCUUUCAUCACCAAAAUCACGUGUAAAUAUCUCUCGCUUCUUAAUUAAUUUGCUUUGCUGUUUAUGUGUGGAUUCAUGGGGUCGAGUUGUUUGUGUGCAACGGAUUAAGGAAAGUACUAACCAGGAAUUAGUUUAACCUGGCGUACAAGAGUACGAACGAGUUUACGACGACCGAAUUGGUGGGAAUCGAUCGAGGUCUUUAUGCGCAAGGUUUAAAGCAAGGGACUUUGUUAGCACUUAGGCCAAUGUGCAUAUAGUCAAAGGGAUGAUGCUUAAUUAGCGGCCGGCACGAAGAAGAAUGGAAUGUUCAGACCUGCUGAAGCUAGCAUUCAAACUGCAAAUCAUGGCCGCAUCUCCUAUUGCCUUUGGAAAUCAAAUCAAUGAUCAGCUUGGUUUUAGUCGAAAACAGUACCUCCUCCAUCCAACAAAGUAUGUCUCAACUUUAACUAAAUUUGAAUACAUCUAUACACUAAGUCAUGUCUAGAUACAUCUAAAUAAUUUUGACAAACUUGAAACAUCUUUUGUUGUACUGAGUGAGUACAUUUAUGUGGAGUUUCUAAGGAACAGACGAAUUCGUCAAGACGACAGAGGACAGUACACACAUGAGCUUAGCACUGGCGCGGUCCGUAUAAUGCAUACGGACGCACAGGCACAGCGAACGGCACGUGAUCCACACUUUGUAACAUCUCCCCCAAUAAACGAAUCGAAACAGUCUGCUCCUGUUGAACCUAGUGCUAAACCUCAGUGCCGCACAGCGGCGCGACGAAAACAAAAAUGAAAGCCGAACGCCUUUGCAUUGUUCUCGUAACUAACCCAAGUAACACUCCAUGCAAACCGGGUUAAAAAUUAUCUGAUGGUUACCUAACCGGCUUUUGCUGGUUAGUGUUUUGUGGUUACAUUUAAUCAUUUGCACCGUCAUUAAUUAAGUAAGUGAAGGUGUCCUGGUCAGUUAGCUUGUUAGUUUAUCUGGACAAAAUUAAACGCGCGGCAGAUGGUCCGGUGAGCAGUAUGGCUGCACGAUGCAUUUCUUUUGGGCAGACAACUUGUGAUGAUGAUCAGAAUUGAAGGGUAUAAACAGUAGCAGUACUAGCAAAAGGCACGAAACAGUGCUGGUUAACUUUCUACCACGUUUUAAUCCAAAAGUCUUUCUGUCUUUGCCGGCCGAAUUUUUUGCGGCAGUGCCCCCCGUUCAAUGUUUUUGUCAAUACUGGCCCCUUCCGAAAAGUAUUGACAAAACUAGCCUGCCAGAAAACCCAGAAAGCGACACGUGGACUUUUCGUCGAUGGCAUUGGCGGAAUGUACUGUACACGCACUGUAGUAGUACCAGCGCAUUGUUUGUGCAUUUGUACCGGAAAAUGCUUUUGCCCCCUUUCCGCCAGGCUACUUUUGCAAUUUCGUUUUGAAGGGGGUUAAAUUUGUCAAAAAAAUUUGGGGUGGGGGGGGGGGGGGGGAGGCUGCCGCAAAAAAAUCUUGCCGGCCGUACCGUACCUGCGUGGAGGGGAGGUGGGAUGUGCGUCAUUGUAAAGACGUCCCCGACACGUGCAGAAAUUAGCAAACAUCACUGAAAUUGCAGUAAAUAGUAAGAGUACAUCAAACAGUAGACAGAGAGCUCGAUCCAAAAUACUUGGUCGUUGAACCAGCACGUAGCGGAAACUGAAAACGGUUUUGUCUAUUUUUAAUAGGGUACCUUGUUGUCGUUGUAUCUAGAUUGUGUUUUUUAUGAUUCGAAACGAACGAUUGAUUAGUUGAGUUGGGAUGACAUCCAAAUCCAACAGCUCUGAUAAAUCGACUGAGAUUUAUUUAUUUUUAAAAAAAAUCAAGCAACACUGAAAUAGACACACCAAAUGAAAAAUAGUUGGGAUGUAAUACAAGAAUCAUUGCAAGGCAGGUGUGGGAGCCAAUCCUGGCGCUUUGGGGUCACCUUGACCGGCGGCCGGAGAGUGACUCCAACAUCGGGGAGUGGUGGGCCACUGGUGCUGUUCCGCAGGGCGCUCGGACAAAGUUCAGGACUGCGACGGCACCGGUGUUAUGGUCUAUCUCGAAGCAUCGGAAUGAUGUUGUCUUUAAUGGAGCUUCACCUUCUUACGCCCAGAUUCUACGCCUUAUCAUUGAGGAGGCGGUCUGCUCGGAGAGAGCUAGACAGAUUAGGGAUAGCUUUUCCUUUUCGACCCUUACGGUGGCAUUAUUACGCUAGCCGGUGUUGUAUCGGCCUCUAGGCCUCCCCUUCUGUAAACGAUGAUGUAACCGCUUGGUUGCAUUCUAUGAAAAAAAAACAAGAAUCAGCGUUGUGGAGAUAGUGUGGGUUGAUGUUGUCGGAAAUGCUACAGAACUUUCUUGUUUUGGUGGCAGUAGUUCUCGCCCAAAUGUGCUGGCAACUUGUUUUGAGCUUCGGUUGCUGUUGAACCGGAAUGGUUAGAGCAUUGUUGUUCAGGCUCUCAUAUGUAUGCGGAUAACUUAUCGGACACUAUGGUUUUCAUUAAUGAAACUGGGGAUUUUUUUUUUACCGGAAAUGUGAGGUUUGAUUAAAAAUAUUCGGUGCUCUGUUUUUUUUUUCAAUGCUCUGUCGUGAAUUAGUGCUACAUCAUAGAAAUGUCAACCGGUGAACGAAAGUGGUUUGCGUUCCCUGAAUCGAGGCUCACACGUCGGCGAUGGAACUCGUCAUCGAUCCUCAAACCAGAGGGUGCGGUAAUAACGACUAGACCUCCAAAUCUCCAGUCCAAGGCAGCCAGUUUCCAAACCGCGGCAUGAUUGGAAGGAAGAUGCUGGCAAUGAUUGGCAGCGCGAAAUCUGGAGCGCUCGUCGAGGCCAACCGACGACGGCCACCCAUGUUGCUGGGACACCUCCCAUUGGCUGCACCUGCACGCGCAUCGGGCUCGAUCGAUCUGCCCCCAAGAAAGUAGCAGUAGAAAGGCCACAAGUUGUUGUAAAACGGAAAGCGGGAGAUUCUCGUUUCGCUUACAGCAGCAAAAAGCUUCGGCUCCGCGUCUAUCGAUCAGGUCGAUAUAAUAGUCGUCGGACAUUGUGGGCAGCACGUCCUUAACAGUCGCGAAAUUUUUUCACAUUUUGCAGACGGUGAUUACUACAGUACGCAGGAGUACUCCGGAGCUUUAUUACAGCAUAAUGUUGGUACAGCACUAGGACUUGCUCGUACCCUGUUUCAGCAAGUACUCGCCGUAUAUGGCUACUGACUGACAUGCCGCUCUGACUGUACGUAUGCGUCCAAGAGGAGGAUAGGUAUGCAUGGAGAUGGUUAUCCUGCGGCGUAUCCCCUGGCGACCUUGUAGUUGCAGAGCCCUAUCUGAACCCCUGCAAAGCGAUGGGCUGCCCAUGCCUGCCUGAACGACGACGCAUGGCAUGGAUCCACCAACCGGCAGCCGAAUCCGCGUGGAGCAUCUCAAACCGCAGCAAACAGCCGCCCGCACUGCCGCACCGCAUCUGGCUGCAGCUAUCGAUGCGAGCGCGCGCAGUGGUCACGCCCCGGCGGCACACGGCACGGGCGGCGAUCGCGAGAGCACGCGCCGGCACCCAAUGAGAAUGAGGUCGCGCUCGCAGGCGGCCAGUCAGGGGAAUCUGGGCGGGCGCAAAGAUCCCCAUGCCACGCAGCGGCAGUCAGGCCAGGGGCGAGAGCGAGACGACGAGCCGGCCGGCGCGGGGCCCGAUGAAGAUAUGCGAGCGAGAUCGAUCGAUCCAUCGGUCGCUGGCUGGCUGCUUGUCCAGCCCCGGGGGUUUUGGCUUGGGAUGUCCGGCCGGCGGCAGGGAUCCGAUGCGACCGGGCCGGCCAAGUCGGCUUCCUCGUUGUUUCUCAUUUUUUUUUCCUGUCCGAUAAAAUAUGCCCCUCGUCGGUCUCCUUUCAUGGGCUGCACGCCUGCACGUACCACUACCGACCUAUAGUACGUGCUUGGCCCAUGCAUGUUUCACCGAUCGACCGACUGACCAGCACAGAAUUGUAACUUGAGGUGACGCACACUGCUGCAAAACACAACAUAAGUCAUUAGUGACGGGCGCACAAAACCCGUCACUCAUGACCUCUCAUCAGUGACGGGCGCAGUACGUCCCUCAUCAGUGACGGGUCCGUCACUGAUGAACCCUCAUGAGUGACGGGUUUUUUUCGCCCGUCACUGAUGAACCCUUAUUAGUGACGGGUGCGGAAAGCCUGCCACUAACGGCCAAAUAUUAAAAAUCACAAAAAUACACAUCAAUGGCGGGCUUUACAUUUAGGCCCGCCACUGAUGACCCCUUGAGACCUUUGGAGAUUGGAAAAUUCAUAACUAAUUCAUAAAAAAUUAGAAAAAUGUGAUUCUUUUUGCUGAAGUCUUAUUUUUUCUUGCUUAACAUAGUGGAAUAAUAAUAUCAUAUGGUAACAUUUGAAAAAAUGACAUGUGUAGUACAACCUUGUUAUUUCACAUAGUUGAACUUUAGGUUUUAACCCAAAUGGCCAAAGUUUUGUCAGUUUCUAUGCCACAUUUCAUGAUAACGUAUCCAUUUUUGCAAAAGGUGAAUCUUGUGAUGAAAAACAAUAUUGCCAAAGAGGUUUACCAUGUUUUGGUUAUAAAAAGUGAUUUUCCAAUUUCCAAAUGCAAAAAAUGAGAUAUUUUUUGAAGCAACUACAAUUAAUAUUGUUCAAAAUGAAACCUAUCCAUUUUUCACAAAAGAUAAACCAUAUUAAAAUUUAUAGGCCAAUUUAAUUAUAUGAAAUACUUCAUAUUACAAGAAGUAUGAAAAAUACAAAAAAAAAGUGCCUGGACUCAUCACCAACGGGUUUUAAAGUUAGACCCGCCACUGAUACUACUGGGCCAAGCCAUUUUAGGCCCGACCCACUUCUUCCUAUAUAAAGGGACAACUAACCCUAACUCCUUCCUUCAAUCCUCCGCGCCGCCAGCCUCCCUCCCCUCCCUAUCUCUCCGAUCUCCCUCUGUCUCCUCGCGCGCCCCACCAGUCCCCCUACUCGAUCUCCUCUUCCUCCCCGAUUUCUCUUUGUCUCCCUCCCCUAUUCUCUCCCCGAGCGUGCACAAGAUGGCCGCACCCACACCGGCGCCGCCCGCGCCUGCGGUGACUCAUGGCGGCCGCCAUGGACGCCUCCCCUCUUCUGUCCCCGAGCGCCCUUGUCUUCGCCAUCGCCGCCAUGGAGCUCCGCCACUGCCGCCCCCGAGCCCGUCUCACCCUUUCUCUAUCUCUCCGUCGCUUACUCUCUCUCUGACUCACUCACUCUCCCUCGCAGCCAGGGCUCCCACGCCGGCGGAUUCGGUCACCGCGGGCCGGGAUCUGGCCGCCCCGGCCUCCAAUAGGGUGGAUCCGGCGGUCGCGGGCCAGGAUUCGGCCGCAUCGGCCUCCAUGCCAAUGGAUCCGGCGACCCUCUCUCUCAGUUCUCGGCCAUGGCUAUCGCAAGUACGCCCCCUCCCUCUCUCUCAGUUCUCUAUUCCUCUUAUUUCUCACUCUCUCUCCCCGUCGGCACCGGAUCGGGGGACCCACUUUCACCGGCAGCGCGCGGGGCCUGGAGCACCGGCGGCGGCGGGCGGUGAGCGGCGGCACCAUGUCCUUGAGAAGCCGGCGAUAUUAUUUUUUGUGAUUUUUUAACAUAGAACGGGCUGCUUUGUGGAUUCAGGGCGGGCUUGGGGCCGGCCUCGUUUUUUCUUCUUCUAAUCCAUAUCAAUGUCGGGCGUGUAGCUUGACCGUUAGUGAUGAAGUCCCUCAUCACUAACGGGUGGACCACCCGUUACUGAUGUUAAGCACAUCAUCGGCAGGAAGUUAGUGGCGGGCGGUCCGCCCAUUACUGAUACAUUUUUUUGACCGUCACUAUUUGACUGUCACUAAUGAGUCUUUUUGUAGUAGUGCGUUCUGCCCUGAAACCCACGUGUAUGUCACGUGAUGGGCACAACCUUUACUUACACGCCGGUCGUUCCUCCACGUACCACAACAAGCGCAUUUUUUGCCUGUGUCAGCACAGAAACGAUCGACGGGAAAAUGUGGGAAAACAAUUUUCAUCAAUCCAUCUUCUCCAGCGGUCUAGCGCCCAUCCAUUCAUCCGGCCUCGUCCGCUCUUCAAAUUUGUUUUCCAGGACCAAAAAAUAAAUAAAUUCUCUUAAUUCAGUGGGGUGUCCAGCUCCAGGCCCAGGCAAGAGAGUUGCAAUCAUCGUACUCACAUCGAGUGACUCAGCCUAUAUCCUGAGAAAGCGAUCGCAAUUUAUCGCCACAAUUGAGGGCGUCAACUUGAUUCUUGGAAUCUUAUUCCCGGUGUUUUUUUGUCACGUGUAUAUAUGCGGAUCGGAUGCUGCAAUCUGGGAGAAAGAGUGUUGUCGUGCUAGAGAUAUUUUCUUGUCUCGAAGAUCCAUCGAUUCCGGUACAUGAUUCUGGCAAAAUUCGUUAUCCAUGACGUCUACGAGCCGCACAUUUCUGGGCCGACAUGGACCAGCCAGGCUCCCCCGCUCGUCCUUUGCGAGGAAAUUGUCGCCGUCACGUUCGGCCUUUUCGGGUGACCGAUUAUGGCCCACUGGGCUCCACGGGAGAUUUUACUGGGAAGAAAAUUUCCCAUUCGGUGGGAUAUUCAAGGGCCUACCAACUCACUCACCCAUAUGCUGACAAUCUUUUAAGAGUAAAUUACACAAAACCACCACAUUAUGGGUUAGGGUUUCACAUAGGUACUAGUUUUUGUUUUAGUUAAAAACACAACCGGAUUAGUAUAACCCCUCGCUUGCUAGCGUAUAAGCCCGUCUCUAAUGAGGUGGGUCCACAGGUAAGUCCAACGUGGCGUCCAUGCUAGCAAUAUCCCUUCUUCCUCCCUGCACUGUCUCUGUUCCCAGUCUAAAGGCCGAUGGGUCCUCACUGGCCAUGGCGCCGGAGCAGCGGCGCGCGGAGCCGCGGCGCGGCGUGGCACAGCAGGGCGCGGGCGAGAAGCCGCGCGGCCUCGCGGCGCGGCGGCAGAGCAGCCGCGCGCGGGCGAGAAGCGGCGGUGCGCGGCGCAGCAGGGCGCGGGCGAGAAGCGGCACUGCACGCGGAGCAGCAGCGUGCGGGCGAGCAGCGACGAGCGAUGGCACGAGCGGGGGAGCGCGGCGGCACGCAGGGCGAGCAGGGGCACGCCGGAGCAAGCGGCGGCACGCAGGGCGAGUGACGGCGCGCAGGGCGAGCGGGGGCGCACGGGGGCAAGCAGCAGUGCGGGGGGGACGGCCGGAGCAGCGGCUUGGCGGCGAGGAGCUUCUUAGGGGAACAAGGAGAGGAAGGAGCUUGACGAGGGAGAGCUUUGGGAGAUAGCAGAGAGAGAAAGACAUUAUUUGACAUGCUGGCACGUCACAUAGGCCUGACUGGUGGACCCAUUCUGUCAGAAAUGUGUUUAGACACUAGCGAACGAGGGAUUAACUAAAUUCGGUGGUUUUUAGCAACCAAAACGUAAAGCGGUACCAAUGUGAAAUCCUAACCCCUAAUGUGGUGGUUUUGUGUAAUUUACUCAUCUUUUAACGUUACACUACUACAGAAACGGUUAUCAGUAACGGUCGAAAAAGCAUAUCAGUAACGGUCGGGGCCGCCGUUACUAACUUCGUGUUACUGAUGAUACCCAUCAUCAGUAACGGUCGCUCCGACCGUUACUGAUGUAUAUAUACAUCAGUGGCGGUCGCUCCUCCCCGAUCGUUACUGAUAUAUAUAUCAUCAGUAACGGUUGCGUCGCCACAUCAGUGUCGGUCGAGCGACCGACACUGAUACAUUUUCGGUAUUUAAAAUAAUAAUUAAAACCAUAGGAAAUACACAUCAAAUUACAUACAGCUAGCAAAUUAUAUACAGAAUGUAUCUCAUCACAGAAAAAUGUAUCUCAUCACAGAAAAGUACAUAUAAAGCCGCAUCACAUCACAUCAUUUAAAGCAUAUAAAGAAUACAAAUGUAUCUCACUUCACGACAUUGAUUACAAAGUGUCAAAAUUCCAUAGAAGCAUAAUUACAAAGUGUCAAAAUUUCAUGAAAGCAUAUAAAGAAUACAAAUGUAUCUCAUUUCAAGUUUGAAUCUAUUGUCGUGGGUGAACCCUAGACACGACUUGUUCCACGCGUUCGAAGAAGUCCCCACUAGGCUUGAUGACCUCAUUGUUUAUGAGAUGGGCGAACUCUCUUUGAAUGUUAUAGACGACCCAUUUAGGUCGGUGUCCCAUUGUCAUUCGGGGCCGCCAGUACUCUUACAUCGCUGCGACUGACCCCUUCCACUCAGGCUUGAACAUGCUGGCAUUCUCCAUAAGGAUGUGAGAGCAGUAGUAGCCACAGAACACACUUCCGGGCGGCUAUUGCUGGCAAGGGAACCUGUGGUUGUGGUGAGGCUCGUCUUUAUAGCCUUUACCAGCUAGUUUUCCCUUGGUCGCCACUUUCCAGGCAGUGUUAAUGUGUGAUUUGAUGGGUUUCCAGAACCUACCUCGAACACCCUUCUUCGGAAGCAGUGAAUCGAAGUAGUACACCGCGGACCAAGAUAAACAAAUGAGUAGUGUCAUCCAAUGGUCUCUGUUUUCAAAAGAAACAAACUUUAGUAUCUAAGGUGUAUAAGAAAGACUGAAUUAGAAAAAACAAACGGUUCCAUAUAUAAAAUUGAACUUACUCCAAAUUAAGGAAGAAAAGGAUGAAGUCGUCGUCCGCGUAUUUCUUGAGACAUGCCACCAAGUAUUUAGAUGCCAUGGUUCUUGAGGCAUCCUUUUCAGGCUCAAGACCGAUGUCACUGUAGUUGAACAUCGCGGGAUUUAGAAUGGCUACUUUUUUGACCUCCAAUCGCCGCAGUUCUCUUAUUUGGUAGGCAGACCACAGCCUUAAGACGUUGAUAUCAAGCUUUUGGCGGUUGAAGAGUUGGAACAGUUCGUUAAACUCCACACCAAAGGUGAUAGGACGUUCCUGAAUGCUCCCAGUUUCUUGGUCAAAGAAACUAUAGUCUCGUAGGAUUCUAACAUUAAUCUGUUGGGCAUGCUGUUCAGAACUAGCUGAUGCUUGCUUGUAGAAUUGAUGAAGCUCUUGCAUCUCUCUGGACAUGGCACGCAAGGAAUCUUCAGUGACCAUCGGUCUUCCAGUAUAGUAAAGAAGCACCCGGUCGAACUCCCUAGCCACGAAAUAGGAUCCGUCUUCAAAUCUCUGGCCUUGAUAUGGGUUCUUGAUGAGAAUGUCAGGCCUAUUGUCCUCCCAGACUCCAGUUAUGUCAGGCACAUGGUGCAUCUCAUCUUGAGUGACAGUGGAGGACUCCUUGAUGGUCUUGCCGCCUCGCCCCCUCUUUUUAUGCCUCCUCUUGCUGUCCCAUGCCUUCUGCUCCUCUGCCUUAUACUUGUCAUCAAUCUUGCGGCCACCCAUGGACUCAGCGGCACCCAAGAGAGAGAAGGUGGGAGGGAUGCUUCCAACCUGUGCCGACCCUGUGGUCUGGCUAUCUUUAAGCUGUGCAGGCAUCGACAUUGCCCGCUCUUCAUCUCCGCCGGCAUCUACAGGAGGAAGUAUCCUAGGGGAAAGGCUGAGCAGCGAAUGAGAAGUACCUUUCUGGGCAGAGGGAGAUGGAGUCAUAGAGGGCCGGCGUUGGUUGUAGAGGGAUACCAAGCUCCUAGGCCACAUAAUUCGGUAGUUUGGACAACCGCUUAGGAUAUCCACGCCAUCCUCCGGAGGAAGCGGAAUAGCAUAAUCCCGAUGGUCGUCGACGACGGAGUCCACCAUCACACUCACUUGUGCGUCGUUCAUGAGAAUGCCGUGCACCAGUGGCGGUGAUUGUCUGGCAUUCAGGCGGCCAAUGGCGCCUACAGGCUUCACAGGCUUGUCAACGUGGAUACGACACUUCACCGGUGCCUACGCGUAACAAGAAGAAGGCAUAUGUGUGUAAGAUCUUUAUUCAUGAAGGUAAGGAUUGAAAAAGAGUUUGAAAAGAUUGCUUACAAGGAUGUUGUCGCUCGGACCCUGACCGUUAUCCCGGCUGCCCUCGCUUGGGGAAGGUUGGCUAGCGGGGGGGUUGUCCAUGCUAGGAGCUGGGCUGUAACCUGGGGUGUAGGUUUCUUCGUCCUCCAUACGUGUGUCGGAGGCGGCGCUGCUCUUCAGAGGAGGAAGGAGGUUCCUCAAACCUUCCACUCCUCCCCCGAGUAUGGCACCAAGGGCGGGGUGGUCUUUGACCAAUGCCGACACCAAAUGAUGGACGGCUUGCACUGCAUAUUCCCGCGACACCUCUUGAGACACGAUAGAUGCCUGCUCUCGUGCCUCCGCCUUAGCUUGUUCUAUUAUCUCAGAAGAAGCGGGGAGCUUUUUCUGGACCCUGCUUCGCUUCGGAGCAGGCAGGAAAUAAUCAUCCCAGCAGGCCCCUUCGCCUUCUCCUAGAAACGGCCCGUGUGCUCCGCCUUUUGCAAGCCGGCGGUCAGAGCCGACUCCCACCUCUUGCUCUGCACGGAGUUGUCGGAGGUCUCUGACCUCUUGUUCUCCUCCCAUUUGUGGGCAUUUUCCUAUUAUCAUAUAAGACAGGACGUGAGUCUAUAUGGAUCAGGAGUGUCAUAAUUCACGCCGAAAACAACUAAAUGCACGUGAACCCUUACCGUAAAUUUUUUAACAGGCGGCUGCAUUGGCCCAAUGCCCGCCCACUGCUCGGGUGUCAUGUGCUGACGUGCAUAUUCUCUAGCACGUUGGUCCUCUAGCAUGUCAUGCACAGGAGGCACCCUGCCUGCCGCCUCGAGAAUUUGGUCCUUUGCGCCAGACCUUCUUCUUCCCCUCUUUCCCUGCACUCCCUAGCCUGUGGUUCAAGGGCUUCCUUAAGCGCAGCGCCCUCAUGCGUUCACUCUUCGCAAUGAAGGCAGGGUCAGACGAUUCCUUCUUGAACUUUUCCCAUUCGGCCUCAUCAGUUACCGACGGCCAUUUCUUCUUGAUGAUCUCGUACGGUUUGUCCAUCCACCUUCUAGCGGUGGUUUUCCAAUUAGCAAGUCCAUUGCGGACUGCUAUGUUGACGGCCGCUAGGAAUCGCUCGCGCCACUCGUCGGUGACUUGGAACCUUCUUGCAACGUCCGCGAUGCAUGUGUCUCUAACAACUUGGGAGAUGUCACUCCACUCGUCGGUGAUCUUGCAAUACUUGCGUGCAACGGCUCCACAGGUCGUUGCAAAGGCCUUCUGUGCCCUCUCAGGCGACUCCGGGCGGCCUCUGUCAGAGUGCCGGGUGACCACGUCACAUAACUCCUUCAAGUUGUGGCUCCCCCUCGGUGUCUUCUUCCUUGGCUUCUUAGGGGGAGUUUCAGAAGGUUGCGGGUUACUCUCGUUGUUGCGCUCUUCUGACCUAGAGGGGCCUGAGCCAGAGCUGGCAAUUUGCUCUCCCGAUGAAGACUCUUCAUCGACACGAUCUAUCUCCUCCCGAUCAAGAACUGGAUUCUGGUUACUCUUGUCCAUUUCGUACCUAUGCCAUCAAAACCAUCAAAUAUGUAUCGGCCGAAAAUUUCGGCAUGGCCUAUGCUAAAAAAAACCACCCCCAUAUGUACCCCCUCGGCACGAUGGCCGACCCCUUCUCGAAUGACCCGACACGAUGGUUGGGCCCACAAUUCAUUACUCAUGUGUAUAUAGCAUAUAAAAAAUCAUGUAUAUAAUGCAUAUACUCAUGUGUGCCCAUCUAACUCAAUUAUCCACUACGACAAACUACAAAUCAUGCUCUUAUAAAUCAGCAAGCUAACACUUGCAUACAUAUGACAGCAACAUAUAAACAGCAACAAAGAAUCAUAUAAAGAACCUAAUUAUAUAGCAGCAGCAGUAAACAACAUGUUAAGGUGGCUUGAAUAAGCAGCAAGGCUAAACAAUAUAAGCAGGAAGGCUAAACAAUAUAAGCAGGAAGGCUAAUGUGCAGUAGUAAACAACAUGUUAAGUUCUAGGAGCACAAAUAACAACGUGUGCCCAUGUACUAACCCUACAAUGUACUAACCCUAUAUCAAAUUUUCAUAAUCUAAAUCGGGAUAUUGCCCAUGUACUAAAUUUGACAGCAACAAACCCUUCUAACAGAUGCUGAACUCUCAAUUUUCAUAAUCUAAAUCGGGAUAUUGCAAUCAAAUCUUAACCCUAACCCUAACCUGUGGCUCGGGGAGGAGGCGGUCGGGCGAGGACGACGUGGGGUGGCGGCGCUCGGGGAGGAGGCGGUCGGGCUCGGGGACGACGGUCGGGGAUGACGGGCGGUGCGGGGUGACGGUGGUCGGGCGAGGACGACGCGGGGAGGAGGCGCUCGGACUCGGGGACGAGGACGUGGCGUCGGGCUCGGGCGGCGUCACGGAGGAAGACGGCGGCGUCGGGCACGUCAAGCGGCGUUAGGCAGGAGGUGCUUGGGCUCGAGGAGGAGGAAGACAGCAGCGUCGAGGACGCGGCGUCGGGCUCGGGCAGCGCGCGGGGUCGACGGCGGCGGCGGCGCGAAAAUCCGGCGGCGCUUCCGCUAGGGUUAGGAAAUCUCACAGCUGGUCUCUCGGGUUAGGUGAGGACGCGCAGGCAAGAAUGAUUCUAAGUGUUUCAACGGGUUCCGUUAUAUACCCCAUGCACAUCAGUAACGGACGGAUAAGGAAUGCGACCGUUACUGAUGUCUAGAAGAACAUCAGUAACGGGCGUGUGGCUCAGCGACCGUUACUAGUAUAAGAACAUCAGUGGCGGUCGCAUAGUAGUCGCCCGUUACUGAUGUGCUCCUAUACAUCACUAACGGUCGCAUAGUAGCUGACCGUUACUGAUGUGCUGCUAUGCUUCUUGGCAGUUGUAUUUUUCUAGUAUUUGUGCAUUUCUCCAGUACAAAUUUGUAUUCAUGCAUUUCUCUAGUACAAAUUUCAAUUCAUGCAUACAAAUUUCAAAAAAUCCAUCACAUGCAUACAAUUUCAAAAAAUUCACUUAGUACAAAGUUUGCAUUAAGAUUCAGUACAAGUACAUUUUUACAAUGUGACUACUAGUGAUUCUCCUUCCUUCGGUAAGUCAUAACUUGACUUCUCGCAGAACUGCUUCUGAGAUAAGGUUUUUGUGGUAUUUUCUUGCUGUCGCUCCCAUCACUUCUUCUUUUCCCUCUUCUUUUCCUCGUUAAUAUCGUGCGUUCCGCUUCUUCGUCGUCUGCGGCGGUCGUCGGAUCAUGGAAACCUUCGUAGUCUUCUUGUGAAGUAACUCCGUCCACUCCAACAAUGCUUCUUUUCCCUCAUCUUACUAUGACGCGGCUUUUAUUUGCCGGGUCGUCUAUGUAGAAUACCUGCUUGCAUUGUUUACCAAAGACCCAUGGUUCCUCUCUUGUUGGGAUUUUUCUCACGUCAACUUGUUCACGAGGGAUCUCAGGAGGUAGCACCAUCGUCGUGAACCUGUGACUUUCUUCUUUGUCACCUUUGGUCCAUCUUACACGGAACAUUGGGAUCUUUGUGAUCGAGUACUCCAAUUCCCAGAUCUCCUCGAUAAUGCCGAAGAACGCUUUGGUUUUGCUGUUGUCAUCGGUCGCGGUCUCAGAAGUCAUGACUACACCACUAUUUUGAUACGUGCUUUUACGGUCCUGAGAUGCAGUGUACAAGUUAUAGCCGUUGAUCGCAUAUGAUUGCCAAGUAGAGACAUGGAAAGCAGGUUGCCGUGACAAACAUACAACCGUCUCUUCUGAUACAUUGGUCGUCUCCCUGCCGUACCAAUAAUUGUUCAGCCACGCCGCGAAUGUUUUAUUGUGCUCCCAGUGGAUCCAGACUUCUCCUCUUUUAGGGUUUUCAUUUCGCAGUUGUUCCAUGUGCAUUUCCUGAUAAGGACGGCAGCAAUCGACAGUUUGCAACACAACCAAAUGUGCUCUUUCAAAGUCAGCUUCCCUUCCUCUUCCAUAGACAUUAAGGUACGUAUGUCCAAGGCCACCUUCGCCAUCGAGCUUGCCCUUGUGUCGUGAUUCGGGAACACCUAUUGAUUUCUGAUCGGCCAACAAAUCCGUGCAGAACUCGAUGCACUCUUCUGCCCUAAAGCCUUCCACGAUGCUACCUUCCGGACACGAUCUGUUACGAACGUACCGCUUCAGAACCCCAUUGUAUCGUUCAGGGCCAUACAUGUUAUGCAGGAACGAGGGCCCUAGGGACAGGAUCUCAUCGCAUAUGUGGAUCAUUAGAUGGACCAUGAUAUCGAAGAAUGAUGGAGGGAAGAACAUUUCGAGCUCGCACAGAAUCUGUAUCAUACUAUCCUUCAGUAUCUGGCAUCGUCUAAUAGUGAUUGAUUUCUGCGAGAUGCUGUCAAAGAAGUCAGAAAGCUUCAUGAUUGUCUCCCUUAUGUGCGGCUCCAUGAUACCUCUGAUUGCGACUGGAAGUAACUGAGUGAGUAUGACAUGGUUGUCGUGACUCUUCAUGCCAGAUAGCUCGUGACUCUUCAUGUCGAUGGGACUUUAAUGCCCUGCAGGCACUGGCACAUCCUAUGCAACUCGUCUUUGUACGGGUUGUAACAUGCAAGACGACAUCGCGUGGUCACCGUCACGAAACCAUUCUUGUCGGCUGCUGACACUUGAACUUUUCCCCACAACUCUUUCCUGAUAGACAUGAGUUCCAGGUCCUUCCGUGCGUUGGGUCCAUCUUUCGUCUUCUCUGGAAUGUUCAUCAGCAAUCCCAGCACGCUGUCGCAUACAUUUUUCUCCACGUGCAUGACAUCUAUACUGUGGCGGCAUCCUAAAUGUGCCCAGUACUCCAAGUCCCAGAAUAUGGACCUCCUUUUCCACACGACGCCUUCAGGUUUCAUAUAUUUCUUCGCAGCAAUCUUUCCGGGGACAACCUCAAGAUCGUUCACAAUUUCGAGGAUUUGCAUACCAGACUUCUCCUUCGGCGCUGUCCCGUGCUCCGUCUUCCCAUUGAACCUUUCCUUGUCAUCCCUCCAAGGGUCUUUAGUAUCCAAUCACUUUCGGUGGCCCAUGUACACAAUUUUGGAUGAAGCGGGCAACUUCUCCGAUGUCAUGUUUUCCCCGCACUUUGUACAGGCCUCGUAGCCAUGUGUCACCUGGCAUGAAGUAUUUCCAUUCGCGAGGUAGUCAUGCACGCAGGUCAGAAGCGCUGCUCUCAUCAUGAAGUACUCCCUCAUAUUUGCGUCCCAAACCACUCUGCCAGGGUUCCAAAGCUACUUCAGCUCAUCCUUCACUAGCUGCAGAUACACAUUUAGGUCAGCUCCCGGCUGCUUUGGACCCUGUAUGAGCAUGCACAUGUGGAUGUACUUUCUCUUCAUGAUUAACCAUGGAAGAAGGUUGUAGACAAACAAGAUCACUGGCCAUGUGUUGUGCUUGUUGUUCUUGUUUCCGAAAGGAUUUAUCCCGUCAGUGCUGAGACCGAGCCUCAGGUUUCUGGGCUCUGCCCCAAAAUCUAGAAAUGCCGUGUCGAAGUUCCUCCACUGAGUCCCAUCGGCAGGGUGUCUUAGGACCCCAGCUUCGUCCACACGGUAGUGCCCGUCAGGAUCGAAUGCAGCCUGCGCCGGAUCGUGAUAGACGGGAUACCUCGCAUCCAUAACGUUCUGCAUCCAACGCUCAACUCAGCCACCUGUCAUAAGAUACCAGACAGUCUUUGCUGGCCUACCCUUCAUCACUUCUUCCCCAUCGUCUUCGCCAGCUCUGGCGUUUUUCUUCUUGUAUCUCGAUGCACUGCAUAUGUGGCAGCUCUCAUGGUUCUCGUACUCUCCAAUGUAAACCAUGUAGUCGUUUGGACAUGAAUGAUGUUUCACGCAAUCCAAUCCGACCGGGCAUGUAAUCUUCUUCGCCUCGUAUGUGCUCUUGGGCAACUUAUUUGGCUGUGGAAAAACCGAAGCAAGGUAACUCAACAAGCCCGUGAAGCCCUUGUCUGACCAGCAUGAUGCUGCCUUCAGCCUCAAAAGUUCGAGCGUCACUUCGAGCGCGUUGUUUUCUUCGCCAACUCCAUCAUACAAGGGUGUGUUUGCGUCCUCCAACAAUUUUUUGAACUGAGCAGACUCUGCCUCAUCUUUGGGGUCCUCCAGCUGGUCCCGUAGGUAUGGGUCAUCUAGCAUUUCAGCAAUCCUGCCACGUGGAGCUACUUCACCUUCCACAUUAGCCUCCUCAUCAACCCUUGUUUCUUCCUCGGAAUCAUUCGCCAGAUCAUACCGCAGGACAUAAUCAUCUUCGCUACCGCUACCGACAUCAACCGCAUCCUCCCCGUGACAAGUCCAGCGAGAAUAACCAUCGACAAAACCCGAUGCCAGCACAUGCAUCUGAACAUCUUCAGGCUUCAUCAUGCAUGUGUUUCCACAUUUGCGACAUGGGCAACGCAUCAUCAAAAGUCCUUUUCGUUUCAUAUCACCUUUCGCGACUCCAAAAAAGACCGUCCAUUCGGUUAUCCAUCGAGCAUUGAUUCUUUCCUUGGCGUACAUCCAAGAACGAUCCUUCGAUCUACAACACAGUACACAAGAAAACAAAAAAGCAAAAUAGUUAGCCUAAUCAUUGACAAGGAGAUUAAUGUGCUAAAUAACCGGAGCUAACUAAAAUUUUGAAACUACAGACAUUCGGAAAGAAUUUAGAGGCCGGCGAGAAAGAUCAGCAGGGAGAGAGAGCACGCAAGCGAGAGGGAAGCUCCGAGCGACGAUGAGGACGCCGCAUUUCGGCCGGCAGCCGCGGAGCUCAAAAGUUUGAAAUUGGGAAAAUUUGGAGAGAAAUUGGAGGCCGGCGAGAGAGAUCGGGGGGGGGGGGGGGGGAGAGGAAAGCUUAGGGCUCGAAGAUCGCAGCGCGCCGGCCACCGGAGCUCCAAAAAUGGAGCUCGGCGGCCAUGGCCGCUCGCCGGCCAUGGAGACGGCGCCGCCGGCACGGGGGGAAGGGAGGAGGGCGUACCUGGGGUGCUCGCCGGCAGCCAUGGCGCGGUCGGGCGGCACCUCGUCGUCGCCGGAGAGGAAGGGGCCGCAGCUGGUCCGUGACGACGUGCGGCGCGACCAGCUGCGGCUCCGCACAGCGUAUUUAAAACGCGAGUUACAUCAGUGUCAAUCGAGGUUUUCUCGACCGUUACUGAUACUCGUGUACACAUCAGUAACGGUCGAGCUGGUCCGACCGUUACUGAUGCAUGGUUCAUCAAUGGCGGUCGCCCCUUAACCGACCGCCGCUGAUGUAACUCGCUGCUAUGAGUGUUCAUCAGUGGCGGUCGUGUCUCGCGACCGCCACUAAUGUGUGGCUGGGCGGGGCCGGACGGUGCCCGCUCGGUUCAUCAGUAACGAUCGUGGCCGCGACCGACACUGAUGUUCUUCAUCAGUAACGGUCGCGCUGGACCCGUUACUGAUGUGGCAUUGCAUUAGACCGUUUUGUAGUAGCGUUAGUUUUGGGCCAACUCUAUCCGUCGGCCAGGCGGGCUGGGGGGAAAAUCGGCCUCCUCCCGGGCCGUACCAUUAGCACAUCUACAAUCGUUCGAUACCGCACACAAUAAAACAACCGCUUCUCUACACUCGUCUUCUUCCCUCAUGGCUCCUCACAGCAUUGCGCUGGCGGUCGAUUUGCAGCACCAACAGCGGGCAGAUGGCCGACGCUUGCAGCCCAGCAGCGCCACAUUGCAAAAACAUUAGCAGCCUGCAGCACCGUCGGCAGGAGAAGGCGUCAGCUUGAAGGUUUGCAGCAGCGGCGCCUGCAGCUUCCAGCACCGCACAUCGUCCUUUGUAGCACCACCGGACACCAUUCACAACAUCGUCUUUGCAGCGCCGCCGCCACUCCUUCCAGCGCCGCCGCCAUCCCUUGCAACACCCACAGCCUGGCACCGCAGCCCGGCUCGCGCCCACCCUAGGCCACAGCCUCCCCUUGCAGCACAUUUGGGCUCUGGCCUGGUAUCGCAGCACCGCCGCCUCGCCUUGCAACACAAGCGUCCGGGCUCGCAGCAGCUUGCAGCAUCGCCGACUCGCCUUGCAUCACCGGCGUCCGAGCCUCGCGGGAGCUUGCCGCAUCGACGUCUGGGGUCUCGCAAAAGCUUGUAGCACCGCGUGUCUCGCCUUGCAGCACCGGCGUACGGGCCACGCGGGUCGCAGCAACUUGCAGCAGCCCCGCCUCCCUUUGCAGCACCGGUGUACGGGCCUCUCGCAGCACCAUUGUUUCCCCUGCAGCAAUGACAGCACCGAAGGCAGGGGGCGCUUCCCUGCUUGCAGCGCGAAGCGGUGCUCUCGCGGCAGCGGUAGCAGGAGGUUCCAGGGAGAAGCCGCCAUGGCUUAGGAAGAAUUCGUGGCAGAGGGAAAAAGGGAGGAGGAGAAAGCGUCGAUGGAAGAUAAGGCAGGGGAAGAUAUUUUGCUGCAGCCGGAGUAUUUGACCGCACAAUGAGAACGUAUCUAACAGCCAGCGAACAGGCCGAUGGUAUGUGUGGAUCGGUCGGACGGAUGAGACCCUUUUCCUUAGUUUUGUGAGGAUUAUGGGGGUUUUGAAAGUUAGAGUGGGGCUGGGCUGGAUUGGGUUAGUUCGCGUGGAAAAGUCCUACCUGAUAUGGGCUAGGCUGUGAUAAUGGGCCAAGCGACAGUUCGACAAAGCCGGCCUCUGAAUUUUGUACCAAAGAAACUAAUUAUGCAGCUCCGGAGGCCGGAGCUUGCCAAAAAAAAAAACAUCAUGUAUUGAAAUGGAGGUUUUAUUUGACAUCAUGUUGAAAUGGAGUUUUUUUGUUUACUCGUUGGAAAGUACUUCUGCACAUAUGACGUGCGAUUUUUUUUCGUCGACGCAAGCAUGAAGUUUGUUUGUCAUCCGAGUUCGUGUUGUUGAUUGGCAAAGGAAGACCAACCUGUGCUAUCAUGUGGUUAUGAACUGCACGAAGGCUAGAGGACUGCGUCGCAAAGACUGGGUUUUGCCGGCAGAUGGGGAUCUCGGCCAGGGAGGAGACGAUUGGGCUCUUAUCAUUCUUGGCUCAGUGGAUGCCCUAACGCGACAGAGGUUGCUUUUUCUUUGGUGGCGGUCUUGGCAUCUCAGAAAUGAUGCCAUCUUCGGAAAUGGGAAAGCGACGAUCGAGGAAUCUGCCCACUUCAUCAGAAGCUACUCGCUUGCGAUGGAAAACAUAAAAAGCCCAGACCCAGUUAUCGCAAGCUGUUUCGAUGAGUCUCUGCAUCCUCUCGGCGGCCAGCUGACUGACAAACAUGGUUCCUGGGACGUUCGGCAAUCUAUUUCGGCACCCACUGCGGUUUGGAAAGCCCCUUCGCUCGACUGGAUGAAACUGAACAGUGAUGUUACCGUCGAUACGCAGUCUGGGGUAGCGUGGUGGGGGGCCUCCCUGCGAUCCAGCUCUGGAGCGUAUAUUGCAUUGGCCUGGGGGAAGAUUGGUCACUGUGGGUCUUUCGCCGAAGCUGAAGCUCUUGCGGCGAGAAAUGGGAUCAUCGCUCUCCGUGAUGAGCAUGAUGUUAAAAUCCAUCUGGAAUCUGAUUGCUCCACUCUGAUCGCCGGCCUUCAUGCAGCAGCAGGGGAUCGCUCCGCCAUCUGCUUCAUCCUUUCUGACAUUAGGGCUCUCCUUGCAAACUUUGAAGCUUCUUGCUAUUCCUGGGUUCGACGCGAGACGAAUAAUGUUGCGCAUGAUUCGGCGGAGUUUGCUAGGACUAGUAAUUUUUCUGGUUCUUUAGCCGGUACUGUACCAUGCUGAGAUAAUGGAACGCUUUUCCUUAGAAAAAAGAGAGUUCGUGUUGUUGUGGUGCCAAGUCUGGUACCGACAAUUAUAUACGAUUCUCUAACAGGGUCUGUUUGGAUCGACUGAUUGUCGAUUGUUAGCUUUUAUAUCAGUGAACACACGAAAGAUACAUUCAAGCAAAGCAAGCUCUUAUAAAAAUCGUCCAAGUUUCUCUUGUGUGUCCUGACCCAUACUUUUGUGAUGUGUCCAUGAACUGUUUUUUUUAAAAAAAAAUAGUACUCCCUUCCUCCAUAAAAAAAUAUUCUCUCUUAUACAAAUCUAUGUCACUUAUUUCAGAACUGAAAGUGUACUGCCCUGCUCACUACGUCGCCCUCAACAAGCCCGGCCUUCCGACGCUUGCUGAUCGUCGACGCCAAAACGGUGAACACGGCCGCCCUCCUCAUUUCCUCCGCCCGAGAGUUGGACUGGCGUCUAGAGCGGACAAUUAAGCGAUCACUGGAUGGACCCACACUGACGUAUGGCCCAUGUCUAGCAGGGGUGUCCUUAACCGUGGUGGACCGACUCGUACCAUCAGUAAAGCAGCCCGCAACCGCAGCGGCCCAUCAUCAAUUGCUCCUCCGGGGAUGUUGCCGUUUUCUCAAACUGAGCAACCGAGCCCCAAUUAACGGACACCCGACUAAGAUCUCGCAUCAGCUCAAAAAAAAAAGAAAAAAGAAAAAAAGAAACUCAGCUCUCACAUGGAUGUAGAACGGAAUGGAAUCUCUUAAUUAUUGGCUGAUUAUUAUGGGGAUCCAAUGAGAACUUUGCGUGCAUGCCCUCGCAUGACCGCCAUUUUGCAAAACAACGUUCAAGCCUGCACUUUGGUUAUAUCCUGAUGUCUAUUUUUUAAAAUAAGUUUGCACUUACUCCACAUGGAAUAGCCAAGAUCCGAUGCACAUCGAUGCAAUUUUGCGCUGACCAAGUCCAACUGACCAAAACACACAACAGGACCAGCACAAUCUUCCAAAAACAAAAGCACGGUAUCAAGUGUCAACAAAAAAAUACCUUCCAAUAAAAAAACGGUUUGCAAACUAUGUUUUAAUCAGAAUACAAAAUAACUUGAUGCAACAGUUACUGUAUGUAACACGAGUUUGUCUUUUUUUCCUUCAUGUAUUUUUUUUCCAUCCAUGUAUUCCUAAACAUUAUAAGUAAUUUUGUUAUUUUGGUUUAUUACUCUUGUUAGUUGGCCCAGGCGCCCAGCUAUACCCCAUUACCCCCUCUUCCCAUCCCAUCUUCUUCUUGCCGAGCGACUCAGCGACCCAGCCCCUCGCUCCGUGCAUCUUUUUCCUCCUCGCGCGAGCGCCGCCACCCAUCCCGCUGCCGAGCGCCCGAGCCCCCUAGCUCGUCUUCCUCCUCGCUCGAGCGCCUCCACCGCAGGUUGAUCUCCACUUCGAUUCUCUCGCUCCCGACCGUUUCUGCUCCCAUCACCCCACGAACGGAUUCCGCCCUUUAGAUCCCCGAUUCAUAAUCUUCCCCAAUUCGUAACUGAGGCAAAAAUCAAGGUAGGGUGGCCGCCCUACCUUGCCCUACUGGGUCCUCCGCCCGUGUCAUGGUGUGAAUCAAUCGCGGUAGUGAGUGGUUUGGAAGUAGGUUCAUGACACGCGCUCGGUGAUGCUUCGGUUGUUUGAGUUUGACUGUACCAAGUCACUGAUCUAGUUCAUUGUGAAUUCUAGCGUGGCAGUAGUACUGCUGCUGGAUGUUUUGUCUAUUUUUGUUGUGAUUUUAGAUUCCUGAGUUGGCACUUGGUGGCGAGUGAGUGUAUUUGUACAUGAUUGCUCGGCAGAAGUGAGUAUCGUUUGUUUACCUAGGGGAAUCUGUAUCAAGCAGGGCUCAGCAAUGUCCACACUGUACUGGAUUGUUUCUCGUCUUUCAUGGGAGUGGUUCUGCAGUUGACUUAGUAGAUUUGAUGCCAGAUAAUUUAGUGGAAAAAUCUUAGUCGCACUAGUUUUUUGGUUGCUUACGAGUUCUAUUGUUAUACUGUUGUUCUGUGGAAUGGACUAUUGUGCAAUUGGCUUUAUGGAAGACACGUCACACAAUUAUCAGGGGCACUAUGCAUUUUUUAUAUACCUGUUAGGAGAGGCUGCAGUUUCCUUGUUUUAGUCUGAUCCCAGCUUCUGUCAAUCAAUGCAGGUAGUGAAUAUGUCAGAUAGUACGUUGCAAGAUCUCAACCUAGCUCAAUCAGCAGAGCUGGAGAAAAGCAAAGACAGUGUUGCGAAACCGUGCAACACUAAGCCUGUGUUGAACGGCAACAAACGUGUCGACAAGGAAGAAAAUGCUCCGCUUGCAUGUCCUGAUGCUGUGACUAAUGGAUGUGAGGCUGCAGUUGUAGAUGUUGAGUAUAUUGAUUCUGAGCAUCUGAUAGAUCUCCCAGAUGUUGACACAAGCUUUAGUGUAUGCAACUAGUUAUUCCAUUUGUGAUUUUUUGUUGGAUACUUAUAAAUUUUCUUCAGAACUAAGAUUUCCAUUACCUAUUGGCUGGCAGACGUUGCUUGCAAGGUUGGAUUCAAAGGACUGGAUCAAGACAUGUGAGGCCCUUAAUAAUGUUCGUCAGUUAGCAAUAUAUCACAAGGAAAGGUUGCAGGAGCUGCUGUAAGUUGUUUCUAUUGUUUCCUGGAAAAACCGUUUGAUAAUGACAUCACUCAUCGAUCCACGUUGCUAUGAAAUUGUACUACAUCUCUUCUGUUAAUUGUUUGAUAUAAACCAUUUGAAUUACAGGGAGCCUCUAGUUCCUCUUAUUGUGAAAUCUGUGAAGAAUCCAAGGAGUGCUCUAUGUAAAACUGCGCUUAUGACCUGUGCUGACAUCUUUAAGGCAUAUGGUGAACUAAUGGUCGACUCAAUUGAUCUACUGGUGUGUUUCCCAUUUUAAAAUAGUCUAUUCACAAUUUCACUUGUUUGGUUUUCACACUAAUUAUGAAGUCACUUAAUUCAUGUUCUCUGUCAAAUGUGUACACAGCUAAUGCCGUUGUUUCUAAAAUCUUCUCAAGACAAGCGCUUUGUUUGUGAAGCUGCUGAGGCAGCCCUUAUAUCAAUGACAAGCUGGAUCUCGCCUUCUAUAUUGCUACCGAAGAUGCAGCCUUACCUCAAGAACAGGAAUCCACGAAUUCGAGCAAAAGCAUCAGUUUGUUUCAGUAAGAGCGUACCACGACUUGUAAGUGAAACUCUCCCUGAAGAUUUACUUAAGAUCCCAGCUUUCUUUGCCCCAAUGAUUAUAUCAGAUUAUCUCCAAAGGAACCCAAAGAGAGGCUUCAGGAUUAAGUAUAUAUUCAUGUUGUGAUUUUGUCUAAUGCCCCAAAAUCUCAACUUGAUACAGUUAUAUAGAUGGAUAAUUUGAUCUCCUUGUGCUAUUCUUAUCUGUCCAUGAUCCUAGUUAGAGUUUAUAUGGAGGUUCUUCCAGAGAUUUUCUGUUUAUUUAGAUAUGCAGUUGCUUGGAUUGAAAAUUCCGUGUGAUAAUAUGGAGCCCCGAGGCCAGACCUUAUCCACACAAAGAUUUAGUGCAUGUGGUGGAACAUUGAUUUGGUGAGGAUAUUAAAAUGGCCAGUGUAUGUUUGUUCAAAGUGCUUCAUAUCCUUUCAGUAAUUUUCAGCAGGGUGACAUUAGCUGCUCAUAAUAAAUUAUUAUUUGGUGCGGAUCUGUAUGCACUGACUCCUCUUGGUUGCUGUUCUAAAUAUGAGAAAUACAACACUUCAGUUGUUUCAUAAUAGUAACUUCUUUUUCUGACAGGGUGUGGAAGGAAUCAAAGAAUAUGGAAUGGAUAAGCUCAUCCAGGUUGCUGCAACCCAGCUCAGUGACCAGCUUCCAGAAUCGAGGGAGGCUGCACGCAAACUGUCAUUGGAGCUACAAGCAUUCUACGAGAAGUCUCAGGCCUCAAGUUCAGGCGAAGAUGAGAGCGUGCCGGCUGCCUCACCAGAAGCUGAAACCUGGGAGGCUUUCUGCCAAUCCAAGCUUUCCGCACUAAGCGCCCAAGCAAUCCUCCGCGUCACCUCUACAACAAAAGAAACCUCAACGACGAAAGACGGUGUAACCGUGAGUGUCCCUUUUGCCCUGAAAGAAGGCGGUGGCCCUGUUACCCCCAAAGAAGGUGAUGUCCUUGUUGCUCCGAAAGAGGGUGCCGCGGCAGUGGGUUGCUAGCAUCGGGAGGUGGCUGCUGUGAUUUUUCGCACAUCCAAUUCACGUAUUUUUGCUGUACAUGGUUUACGGUUGCUCCGUCAUCGAAUUUGCUGGGUUGUCUGCACUGGAGUUUCUUCAGGUUUUAUGCCUCCGGUGUUAAUAUUGGUCCGAGAUAUAGUCCCCUUGUUAUAGUCGAGCUUACAAUCCUUGGGUUCCACUGCUUGUGCUUGGCAAUGGUUGGUUCUCCGGUAAUUCAGUCAGGCGUAUGUAGAAUUUCAUCCACCGUUCCAUAUUUGCUGACAGUGUUAUUACACAGUGCACGUUUGUGUUCUUUUGCUUUUGCUCUGUAUACUUAGGUUCCAUUUGUGUGUCUACCCUACCAGUACGUGGUUUCUGCUGUAGAAUGUACACGAUGGUAACCAAAAUGCCAGGAGCCAGUCCCUGUACGUGAAAAAGAUGCACAUGCAUCGCAAGUGCUGGCCGCAGAGCAAGCUGCGCCGAUGAUAGCGUUUGGUUCAUGAGAACAUUGAAUCGCAGUGCAGAGACGCAUACUACAUUGUGAUUUCGUGAUUUCUUUUGAAAAUCAAAUGUACAUGUUCGUUUCUAGUACGGAACCUACACUUGCACGCAAAUUUCACUGGCAGACAGCGAACGCAGGGCAGGCUCCUCAGAGGGUGGGGCCUGCCCUGGGCGUGACCUCCUCAGCUCUCUCACAAUCUCACAUGGAUGUGGAACGGAAUGGAAUCCCUUAAUUAUUGGCUGAUUAUUAUGGGGAUCCAAUGAGAACUUUGCGUCUAGCAUGACCACCAUUUUGCAAAACAACGUUAAGCCUGCACUUUGGUUGCAUUCUGACGUCAUUUUUUAAAAAAAAGUUUGCACUUACUCCACAUGAAAUACCCAGAUCCCGAGGCACAUCGAUGCAAUUUUGCGUUGACCAAGUCCAACUGACCAAAACACAUAACAGGAGCAGCACAAUCUUCCAAAAACAAAAACACGGUGCCAAAUGUCAACAAAAGAAAAUAUCUUCCAAUAAAAAAAGGUAGCAGCAGAGCGGAGUAUAACCUAUGCCAGGCUCGCCGCACAGCCCAUAUUUCCAUCCAGCCAUCCAAGAUGACAGUAGCAGAAUGCAAGUGAGGACGAGGAACCGGAUCAAUCAGCCUCAACCAAUCCCCCACAAGCAGCGGGAGCGAACUGCCGCCACUGCCUCCCCUUCCUCCUCGUCGGCGCAGGUAAACCCCUCGCGAAUCCCGAUCCCUCCUCCUCACGCGCGCAGCAGCAUUAUUCGCGCCCUCCGGAUCUGCACCCCGCUCCCCCGUGCGAACGGCGUGAUCUACGCUGCCUUCCCCUCUUUGUUUUUUCGGUGCAGUGAUUUCUUAGGGGUUGGGAUAGAUCUCACCGAAUUUGGUUAGCGUAGAUGGAAUGGUGAACACAGGGUUAGUGCCUCUGCGGUUCUACCAGUGGCCGCGGCUGGGGUCAGCGGGCGGAGUCGGAGAUCUAUUUAGUUCGUUCAAAGUGAGUUCGAUGCGAUCUGGAGAUUGUUUCAGCGUGGUAGAUGCGCAUGAUCUCAAGGUCAUGGUGCAUUAGCGAAGGACAAAAAAAAAUUGAGGUGGGCCAAUUUCUAUCCUAACACUAUGUGUUAAUAUAGAUAUCACAUUUAAUAUUUUUAUAGGAUUACAAAAUAAAUUUGGUUUUUCAGACUUUUUAGGAUGUUUUUUUUGUUGGUACAUUUAAUGAUAUAUUGUACAGUGAUAUUUAUGUUAAAUAUUAUUUUUUAUCAUAUUAUAUGUCAAAUCAAUCAUAAUCGAAAGAUCAUAAUACAAAUAUUUAUAACAUAGAAUAUAUGACAAUUAUUAUGAUUUGCAAACAGUUCUUCGGUGGAGUGAGCAAGGAUCGACAACUCAAAUCUAUAUAAGCGUAAAGUUAUUUUUAUAUUUUUCUUGCAAAGAUAUCUUCAUACUUACCGCCUUAAAAAUAUCAAGUAGAUAUUUGGCAUAAUCACAAUACCUUGAGAGAUAUGCCAUCUUAUGAGAAAGAACUACACAAUCUGAAACAUAUUUGUGAGUCUGUGAAAAUCAGAACUCAUAAAACAAUAAUACACCACGUGGACAUGGUUAUCAUAUCUACUGCCAUUAAGUAAGAUGAUUAUCUAUCAACUUUCAUUAAUUAAGAAAUACGAGUAAAGAUACGUCGGUUAAUACAUCAAUGAAUAAUCAUACAUGGACAUCAACAGUAAAUAACCAAAAUAAGUAAGAGUGCAGAAGUUGCGUCUUCCGGAGAACCAAUCUUUGCAGGCUAUAUCGUCGUCGAUUGCGCAAAGUCACGUUGGAACGCCACACACACACCACCUCACACGGGGCGUUGCCGUUGAAAACUGGCUGCCGAUGUAGGCGACAAUUGACCCGUCAUCACUGCCUCCUACGACGUCUUUCUCAGAUCCCGUCCAAAUGCAUAGCUUGGCAAGUCAUCGUCAUCGCUGCCUCUAAUGAUACAGAGUUAAAUUAGUUGAAAUUUUAUAGAUUUAUUUUAUAUAGAGACGCAAAUACAAAUUCUAAAAGACCAAACAAAUUUACAUCUAACAAUGAUUUAAUAAUUUGUAUUAAAAUUAAUCCGAAUAGAAAAUAACUUGAUGCAAGGGUUACGGUAUGUAACACGAGUUUGUCUUUCUUUCCUCCAUAUUUUUUUUUCAUCCAUGUAUUCUUGAACAUUAUGAGUAAGUUUGUCUUUUUUUCCUCCAUGUAUAAACAACCUGUUAUUCAGGUUUAUUACUCCUUGUUAGUUGGCCCAGGCGCCCAGCUAACCACGUUACCCCCUCUCCCCAUCCCAUCUACUUCUUCUUGCCGAGCGACUCGGCGACCCAGCCCCCUCGCUCCGUGCAUCUUCUUCCUCCUCGCGCGAGCGCCGCCACCCAUCCCGCUGCCGAACGCCCGAGUCCCCUAGCUCGUCUUCCUCCUCGCUCGAGCGCCUCCACCGCAGGUUGAUCUCCACUUCGAUUCUCUCGCUCCCGACCGUUUCUGCUCCCAUCACCCCACGAACGGAUUCCGCCCUUUAGAUCCCCGUUUCAUAAUCUUCCCCAAUUCGUAACUGAGGCAAAAAUCAAGGUAGGGCGGCCGCCCUACCUUGCCCUACUGGGUCCUCCGCCCGUGUCAUGGUGUGAAUCAGUCGCGGUAGUGAGUGGCUUUGGAAGUAGGUUCAUGACACGCGCUCGGUGAUGCUUCGGUUGUUUGAGUUUGACUGUACCAAGUCACUGAUCUAGUUCAUUGUGAAUUCUAGCGUGGCAGUAGUACUGCUGCUGGAUGUUUUGGCUAUUUUUGUUGUGAUUUUAGGUUCCUAAGUUGGCACUUGGUGGCGAGUGAGUGUAUUUGUACAUGAUUGCUCGGCAGAAGUGAGUAUCGUUUGUUUACCUAGGGGAAUCUAGAUCAAGCAGGGCUCAGCAAUGUCCACACUGUACUGGAUUGUUUCUCGUCUUUCAUGGGAGUGGUUCUGCAGUUGACUUAGUAGAUUUGAUGCCAGAUAAUUUAGUGGAAAAAUCUUAGUCGCACUAGUUUUUUGGUUGCUUACGAGUUCUAUUGUUAUACUGUUGUUCUGUGGAAUGGACUAUUGCGCAAUUGGCUUUAUGGAAGACACGUCACACAAUUAUCAGGGGCACUAUGCAUUUUUUAUAUACCUGUUAGGAGAGGCUGCAGUUUCCUUGUUUUAGUCUGAUCCCAGCUUCUGUCAAUCAAUGCAGGUAGUGAAUAUGUCAGAUAGUACGUUGCAAGAUCUCAACCUAGCUCAAUCAGCAGAGCUGGAGAAAAGCAAAGACAGUGUUGCGAAACCGUGCAACACUAAGCCUGUGUUGAACGGCAACAAACGUGUCGACAAGGAAGAAAAUGCUCCGCUUGCAUGUCCUGAUGCUGUGACUAAUGGAUGUGAGGCUGCAGUUGUAGAUGUUGAGUAUAUUGAUUCUGAGAACCUGAUAGAUCUCCCAGAUGUUGACACAAGCUUUAGUGUAUGCAACUAGUUAUUCCAUUUGUGAUUUUUUGUUGGAUACUUAUAAAUUUUCUUCAGAACUAAGAUUUCCGUUCCCUAUUGGCUCGCAGACGUUGCUUGCAAGGUUGGAUUCAAAGGACUGGAUCAAGACAUGUGAGGCCCUUAAUAAUGUUCGUCAGUUAGCAAUAUAUCACAAAGAAAGGUUGCAGGAGCUGCUGUAAGUUGUUUCUAUUGUUUCCUGGAAAAACCGUUUGAUAAUGACAUCACUCAUCGAUCCACAUUGCUAUGAAAUUUACUACAUCUCUUCUGUUAAUUGUUUGAUAUAAACCAUUUGAAUUACAGGGAGCCUCUAGUUCCUCUUAUUGUGAAAUCUGUGAAGAAUCCAAGGAGUGCUCUGUGUAAAACUGCACUUAUGACCUGUGCUGACAUCUUUAAGGCAUAUGGUGAACUAAUGGUCGACUCAAUUGAUCUACUGGUGUGUUUCCCAUUUUAAAAUAGUCUAUUCACAAUUUCACUUGUUUGGUUUUCACACUAAUUAUGAAAUCACUUAAUUCAUGUUCUCUGUCAAAUGUGUUCACAGCUAAUGCCGCUGUUUCUAAAAUCUUCUCAAGACAAGCGCUUUGUUUGUGAAGCUGCUGAGGCAGCCCUUAUAUCAAUGACAAGCUGGAUCUCGCCUUCUAUAUUGCUACCGAAGAUGCAGCCUUACCUCAAGAACAGGAAUCCACGAAUUCGAGCAAAAGCAUCAGUUUGUUUCAGUAAGAGCGUAUCACGACUUGUAAGUGAAACUCUCUCCUGAAGAUUUACUUAAGAUCCCAGCUUUCUUAGCCCCAAUGAUUAUAUCAGAUUAUCUCCAAGGGAACCCAAAGAGAGGCUUCAGGAUUAAGUAUAUAUUCAUGUUGUGAUUUUGUCUAAUGCCCCAAAAUCUCAACUGGAUACAGUUAUAUAGAUGGAUAAUUUGAUCUCCUUGUGCUAUUCUUAUCUGUCCAUGAUCCUAGUUAGAGUUUAUAUGGAGGUUCUUCCAGAGAUUUUCUGUUUAUUUAGAUAUGCAGUUGCUUGGAUUGAAAAUUCCGUGUGAUAAUAUGGAGCCCCGAGGCCAGACCUUAUCCACACAAAGAUUUAGUGCAUGUGGUGGAACAUUGAUUUGGUGAGGAUAUUAAAAUGGCUAGUGUACGUUUGUUCAAAGUGCUUCAUACCGUUUCAGUAAUUUUCAGCAGGGUGACAUUAGCUGCUCAUAAUAAAUUAUUAUUUGGUGCGGAUCUGUAUGCACUGACUCCUCUUGGUUGCUAUUCUAAUACGAGAAAUACAGCACUUCAGUUGUUUCAUAAUAGUAACUUCUUUUUCUGACAGGGUGUGGAAGGAAUCAAAGAAUAUGGAAUGGAUAAGCUCAUCCAGGUUGCUGCAACCCAGCUCAGUGACCAGCUUCCAGAAUCGAGGGAGGCUGCACGCAAACUGUCAUUGGAGCUACAAGCAUUCUACGAGAAGUCUCAGGCCUCAAGUUCAGGCGAAGAUGAGAGUUUGCCUGCUGCCUUACCAAAAGCUGAAACCUGGGAGGCUUUCUGCCAAUCCAAGCUUUCCGCGCUAAGCGCCCAGGCAAUCCUCCGCGUCACCUCUACAACGAUAGACACCUCAAUGACGAAAGACGGUGUAACCGUGGGUGUCCCUUUUGCCCUGAAAGAAGGCGGCGGCCCUGUUACCCCAAAAGAAGGCGAUCUCAUUGUUGCUCCGAAAGAGGGUGCCGCGGCAGUGGGUUGCUAGCAUCAGGGAGGUGGCUGUCGUGAUUUUUUCCACAUCCAAUUCACGUAUUUUUGCUGUACAUGGUAUACGGUUGCUCCGUUGUUGCGUCGAAUUUGCUGGGUUGUCUGGGCUGGAGUUUCUUCAGGUGUGAGACCUGCGGUAUUAAUAUUGGUCCGAGAUAUAGUCCCCUUGUUAUAGUCGACCUUACAAUUCUUGUGUUCCACUGCUUGUGCUUGGCAAUGGUUGGUUCUCCGGUAAUUCAGUAAGGCGAAUGUAGAAUUUCAUCCACCGUUCCAUAUUUGCUGGAGUAUUAUUACACAGUUCCCGUUUGUGUUCUGCUUUUGCACUGUAUACUUAGGUUCCAUUUGUCUGUAUACCCUACCCGUACGUGGUUUCUGCUGUAGAAUAUACACGCUAGUAACCAAGAUGCCAGCCCCUGGACGUGAAAAGGACGCACGUGCAUCGCAAGUGCUGGCUGGAUUUGGUUUCUGCUUUGCUGACCUCGAACUUCAAAGGAGUAAUGCAUUGGAUCAUUGAAUCGCAGUGCAGACACGUAUACUUUGACAGACAGUGUCGAUUUCUUUUGAAAACCCAAUGUACACGUUCGUUUCUAUGUACGAGGCUACUGUAGAAAACAGUUGCACACAAAUUUCAGUGGCACACAGCUAAGCAGCGGCGGCUCCUUUGAGAAAUGCCCGGUCCGGCUUCUCUUUUGUUGGGCUCGGUCGGACAUGGGCCAGACUUAACAGCAGGCCGAGAAGAUUUGUGGGCUGCUGGGAAACUCGAUGCAGCACAAGAUCAGAGGUAAUAGGCCCAAAUGAACGGGCCGUCGUCAUCUCUCUCUAGUCGUUUCGCCUCUCGCGGUCGCGGUACCACUGUGCUGUUCCUGUGUCCUUUAGGCCAUUGGAGCUCGCCACCGGACCGGCUUGGCCCGACGCUGCCCGCACGCUUCCCCUCUCCAGCCCCCGUGUCGCUCCUCCGCUGCCCUUCGACGAAUUGUAUCCCGCCUGUUGCAUCGCCCGUGUGCUGCGAGCUGCGGCCAUCAGCCCAACCGAACAGCGCGCAGAUCGCCUCCCCGCCCUGCCCAGCUGGCGAAGUCAACCUAGGGCAACGGCGACGGACCUCUGCAGCGCCGGCGCGUCAGCCGCCGCCAAUAUGGCGGCCUCGUCGUUGAGGUGGACGAUGCAGCAGCAUCUUAUUUGUUCACUUGAAUUGUGUUGGUCUGUAUGUCAAUUUCGCUGAUCUGAUCCGAUUUAAAAGUACUUCCAACUGUUCAUCCCACGAAGGUUUCUAUUGUUCAUUCCCUUCUCCCAAAUGCUAAGCAAAUGAGUGUUUGAUACAUUGGUAUUCCCUGUGUGUGCACCCUAAAAUACAACUGUAAGCAUUUACAUGUAAGAAGUUUACAAAGCUAUUAAGGAAAUUAGCGGAGGACAAAAAAAUUGAGUUAGGGCGAAUUUCUAUCAUAACACUACGUGUUAAUAUAGAUAUCACAUUUAAUAUUUUUGUAGGAUUGCAAAAUAUAUUUUAAUAAAUUUGGUUUUUUCAAACUUUUUAUUGGUACAUCUGGUGAUAUAUCGUCGAGUGAUAUUUAUGUUAAAUAUUAUUUUUCAUCGUAUUAUAUGUCAAAUCAACCAUAAUCAAAAAAUCAUAAUACAAAUAUUUAUAACAUAGAAUAUAUGACAAUUAUUAUGAUUUGCAAACAGUUCUUCGGUGGAGUGAGCAGAGGAUCAACAACUCAAAUCUUUAUAAGCGUAAAGUUAUAGUUAUAUUUUUCUUGCAAAGAUAUCUUCAUACUUACCGUCUUAAAAAUAUCAAGUAAAUAUUUGGCAUAAUCUCAAUACUUUGAGAGAUAUGCUAUCUUAUGAGGAAGAACUACACAAUCUGAAACAUAUUUGUGAGUCUGUGAAAAUUAGAACUCAUAAAAAAAUAAUACACCACGUGGACAUGGUUAUCAUAUCUACUGUCACUAAGUAAGAUGAUUAUCUAUCAACUUUCAUUAAUUAAGAAAUACAAGUAAAGAUACGCCAGUUAAUACAUCAAUGAAUAAUCAUACAUGGACAUCAACAGUAAAUAAUCAAAAUAACUAAUAGUGCAGAAGUUGCGUCUUCUGAAGAACCGGUCUUUGCAGGCUAUAUCGUCGUCGAUUGCGCAAAGUCACGUUGGAACACCACACACACACACACCACCUCACACGGGCGUUGCCGUUGAAAACUGGCCGCCGAUGUAGGCAACAAUUGACCCGUCAUCACUGCCUCCUACGACGACUUUCUCAGAUCCCGUCCAAAUGCAUAGCUUGGCAAGUCAUCGCCAUCGCUGCCUCUAAUGAUCCAGAGUUAAAUUAGUUGAAAUUUUGCAGAUUUAUUUUAUAUAAAGACGCAAAUGCAAAUUCUAAAAGACCAAACAAAUUUACAUCUAACAAUGAUUUAAUAGUUUGUAUUAGAAUUAAUCCGAAUAGAAAAUAAUUUGAUGUAACGGUUACGGUAUGUAACACGAGUUUCUCUUUCUUUCCUCCAUGUAUUCUUUUUUCAUCAUCCAUGUAUUCUUAAACAUUAUGAGUAAUUCUAUUAUUCUUGUUUAUUACUGCUCCCUCUGUCUCAUAUUAAAUGUCCUAAAUGCACCUAAAUAUGGAUGUAUUUAUGCUUAAAAAAUGUCUAGACACAUGUAAUAAUUUUGACACUUAAUACGGGAACGUGGGAGUACUUUUAGUUGACCCGGUCGCCCAGCUAUACCCACAUUGCCCCCUCUCCCCAUCCCAUGUCCUUGCCGAGCGACUCCGCGACCCAGACCCCUCGCUCCGUGCAUCUUCUUCCUCCUCGCGCGAGCGCCGCCACCCAUCCCGCUGCCGAGUGCCCGAGCCCCCUAGCUCGUCUUCCUCCUCGCUCGAGCGCCUCCACCGCAGAUCUCCACUUCGAUUCUCUCGCUCCCGACCGUUUCUACUCCCAUCACCCCACGAACGGAUUCCGCCCUUUAGAUCCCCGUUUCAUAAUCUUCCCCAAUUCGUAACUGAGGCAAAAAUCAAGGUAGGGUGGCCGCCCUACCUUGCCUUACUGGGUCCUCCGCCCGUGCUUAAGGAUGGGAGCAGAUUGUUUAUUUUGGGAGCCAGGAAAAAUAUAAAUCUUAAUCUCAAAUUUGUUUGUUAUUUUCUGUUGGGUGUAACAUAACAUUGUUGUCCUUUUGAAGGUAUCGAUUGGUGUUCGUCGUCUUAAUCAUGGUGUUCAGCAAGGUGGAAGUGAACUUGAGAAGGCUGCUCGAGGCGGCUCCUCGGCAGCAGAAUCAGGCUAAGCUUGUCCAUGUAAGUGUAGCACCUUGCCGUGCCAAAAAUAAGUGUACUGGCACUGAAAGACACUAAUUGCAGUACAUAACCACAGCGAGGGAGCUGUUGGAGCAGCUUGGAACAGAAAUCACACCAGAAGGUGUAUCAAGGUACUUGCUGUCACGGGUUUCUAUGUUCUCUGAUGUUGCAAUAUUGUGUGCCUUUUUGGACUAUUAAUAUGUUGACUGUGGUAUAACAUUUGUUGAGGAUCCAUAAUUUUCCCAUGACCACGAAAGUUGUAGUCCAAUAUAAUUUUUUUAGAGUAAAUAUCACAAAACCCCUAGUUUCUGACGAACUGUAUCGCAAAACUACACCUUUUGGUUUUUUUAUCACUUAACCCGUAUUCUUGGACUAAACCGUAUCGCAAAACCCUAAAUCUCGCUGUCAACGACGCUAACAGGGAAACUCAGGAAGUUCUUCUGUAUAGUUCUUACCUCUCAUAUUUGAAAGUGCAUCCUUCCAAGGUGCGAAUCAUUAAAUCGUGCUAGUUCUUCUGUAUCAGUAUCAUCAUCCAUCAUUGCUAUUUUGCAUCAAUGUGAACUCAGGAAGUGAUAAAGGAUUAAUUGUUGCUAAUAGCGUGAUCUUCCUGAAUGCUUUCCAUGCUGCCGUUACAGGAACGGGCCCAAAAGAAAGAUAGGAACUCAUGGCCCAUACCAGUAUAGUUCUUACCUCUCAUAUUUGAAAUUGAGCAAAGCUAUAUGUACGGUUCUUCUGGUAUGAUAUUUUUACGACCACACUAUGGGUCUGGACUUGUGCUGAGAAAAUACUGUGAAAAAAAAACCCAUCGUAGUUUUAUCGUACCAAGAGAAUCGUACACACAGCACUUCCGUUUGAAAUUUUCUGAAUCUACACUGACCGGCUUCCGGACGUACCAUUCUUCUAUAUAAAAGGAUCCAUGCUUCCCCACUCGAUAAAGCACGGAAAUCUGGAUACUCUUUUAUUUAUUAACAAGCUGUUCAUUAAAACGUAGAUACUGUAUCUGUAUAGACACACUCCUCUUACUUGACAAAAGAAACCUUAUCUGACGGUACUAUAAAUUUUCAUGAGAUUCCAUUGAUGGCCUGCAUUUUGAUGAUGCGAAUGUCUAAUCUAUUUCCUGCCUUUUCUUUAAUAACCUUACAGCUGACUCAAUGGUCGUAGUAUUGUGUGUAGCAAAGCAAGUUACCAUUUCCUGUUUGCGCGCUUUUCCUCAUGAUCAGAACAAUAUGCUCAUUCAUGACUUUCUUCUUGAUACAGUGUUUCAAAAGCUAAGCUAGGUGAGUAUUCAGAAAAGAUUGAAGCACUGGCUGCCACGCUCGCUGCUACAGUGGUAUGUUCUUACUUCUUAGCACGCCAAUUUGUAUUUAUAUUGAUAUGCUGAAUUCCUCCACCUGCAUUCUGUAAGACUCAGUACAACCACUAUGAUUUCCUCAGACUCUUUUCUUUAAACUGAUCUCUCAGAACAGUGCAUGUCACUAUUACUCGUAUAGUCUAGCUUCAAGAUACACUUCCAUAACUAUCUUUUUGAUGCAGCCAGAAAAUGAAAAUCCGGUUGAGGAGAGCAUAGAAGAACAAAGCUCUUAUGAAAGAGAAAAGGUUGGAAGUCCAAUAUCCUUGUCAUCCGGAUUGCGAAGGAGACCAACGUAAGUUAAAUUUUAUCCCUUUUGUUUUGUUCCCAUUUCUUGCAAUUACAGCUAAUGAACUAAUGGAUAUACAAUUAAAUAGUACUCAGGUGGAGGUUGGACCAAGUAGUUAUGAGAGAAAAGAAAGAGAUACUGGAGCACCUAUUAAAUUGGACGCAGAGGCUCAGGCUCACAUUGAGAAGCAUAGGUAUGCCUCCUUUUUUUUUCGAAGUAUCUUUCGGACCUCAGUCUCUGGGUUAUUCUAUCACUAUUUCUACCCACAAGCACAACCAAUUUACUGAUCCAUUCAUUAACUGGUCUUGCUGAUAUUACCGUGAUAAAAAUUUGAGUAAGCAUGGAAAGUUUACUCACUACUCCUUUAACUUAUCUCACUGAUAUCCUUAUGCUCUCGCUAUUCUUAAUGCUAUGUUUAAUCAUUACCCCUUCGGAUACUUUAAGACCUAUAAGCAUGGUAAGUUCAGAGAUGAACAAAUGAAUAUACUGCUAUCCUCUUUACUGUGUCGGAUCUCCUGACUGCAUAGGAAGCUGCAAGAUGAUCUGACUGACGAGAUGGUCGACUUAGCACGCCAGCUGAAGGAAAGCAGCCUUUUAAUGAACCAAUCCGUGCAAGAUACAGAGAAGGUGGGCUUUAAUUUUGCCUUCGCAUUUGUCUCAUCUGUCCCUCUCUGCUGAAUGUUUACCGACUACUGAGAAUGCUCACUCACUGGGUGCUGCUGAUGCAGAUCCUCGAUUCCACUGAGAGAGUCGUGGAGCAUAGCUUGGCGAGCACGGGGCGCGCGACGGCACGGGCCUCUGAGGUCUACUCUCUGGCUUCCAAGACGACCUGCUUCCAGUGGCUGCUCAUCUUCAUGAUGACCUGCAUGUUUGUCAUGGUGGUUCUGCUCAUACGAGUCACCUAAAAUGGCGCCGUAACCACUGAUGGUUACGUAUGCUCAGUUUCUCUAACUCCAGCCGAUAUAUAUUCUGUAAACUGUCCCAACAUGACAUGAACAUAAACAUGAGGCUGUGUUUGUCACCGUUGUCAUGCAAGUUUGUGAAGAAAGAUGUUCCCUGAUAUGACAUAGAGAUUGUUUUGGCCAGUCUCAAGCUUUAGAAAGUUUCGUUUAUUUUACGUUGGAUGAAGUUCGAACCUUACAUUUGCAACUGGUUUAUUCCCACAUGAAUGGACAUAUCAUGUACAAAAAGGAAAGUCAAUUAUUUCAAAGAAAUCAAAGCUGAGGGCCGUUAGCCCCAAUCCUAGCCUUACGAUGCUUGAUCCAACGGUUCACCUGAGGAACUCUAGUUGUAUGGCACCACAUCAAAUACUUUUAGUUUGUUGAGCGUUUCUAAAUUGCACACACAAGCUGCAACUGUGGUCUAGUACUGGUCUGCUUGAUAGAUACUCCAGAGAGUAUCUGUUUUCCAGAUCCGGUGGUCUGCUACGGCCACAACCUUCCUCGUUUAAGAUGCUAGUAUUAAUUACACUCAAACUACAACUGUGUCUGAUAAAUUUAGCAAUGCUCAUCGUGUCAGUAAAUCUACUCUGACAGUUCUAACAACCACCUCUGCAAUUUUGAGGUCCUCUUGUUAUUACUGACCAGUAAAUUAAGCAGGACAAAGUAGAAAGAGAUGGACACAGCUAAUAAUUCUAGCUAAAUUAACAACUGGCAAUCAAUUAACACCGCAAAUGUUGCAAACUGGAACAUGCUAAGGAGUAAGCACGAUGAUGAUGAUCACCAGUGCAUGUAAUGUAAGAAGCAUGGUGCCUAGCUUGUCUUAUUAUUACCACUGACCAGAGUAAGUAAGCAGUACUGAACUACUGAUCGCCACACACACCUGAAGGCGACAGUAGGAAUGAUUGACUAAGACCACAAUUACCACUACUACAAAUCCAAUAAGCAGCACAGUUAACUAAAUAAUUAAUCCACACACACAACUUAAUUCCCCUGAUCGAUUGAUAAAUUAACCAAAUCCAUCGCUUUCGCCAUCUUCAUUAUUUUCUCAAACGGUACCGGCGAUCUCGACGGCCUCCGGUGCUGGCGCCGCCUUGUCGACGAUGUCGGCGGCCUUGGCGUCCUGCUGCUCUGGUGCUGCCAUGACCUCGAUCUUGUGCAUGCCGAGGAUGGGGAUGUUGCUGACGGAGAGGAUGGCGACGGCGUGCGGCGGCAGCUCGAUGACCUGCGCCUGCACGGCGCCGCCGCCGGUGGCGCCGUCGGCCGUGGUGGGCAGCACGGCGGCGUUGCUCGGCCUGCGGUAGUAGAAGUAGAGCCCCAUCUGCACGCAGCUGAAGAAGAAGCCCCCCACGUUCGGGUACUGCAGCAGCACAUUUAUUACAUCAAGUUAAUUAUAAUUAGCCACUGCUAAGUAUAUGAUCAAGCUAAAGAAGAUGAUGAUUAAUUAGAGCUCCUACCAUGACGUAGGGGUCCUUGGUGAAGUAUCCGUAGCAGAACCAGGCGACGGCGCUGAGCACGAGGCAGAAGGACAGGCUGAUCGGCAUGAACUCCACGCUCUUCGUCUUGAUCACCUUGAACUGCAUUACGCAUCAAUCAAUGUAACACCAAGAAGCUUAAUUACUUGAUUAAAACCAUCCUUAUUAACAUCUAAUUAUAUAAAGGAUCAAGCUUAGUCAAUUACUAGUACUUACGAUGAUGGAGAGCGGGGCGACGAAGACGGCCAUGGAGAAGGCGAGGCAGACGGAACCCAGGAACUUGACGCGGUGCUCGGGGGCAACGCCGAGGAGGGCGACGGCGGCGACAAUGGCGAAGGCGGCGACGUCGAGCGCCAGGAAGUAGGCGAGCGCGCGCAGCCUGGCCUUGCGCGGCGCGUAGAGGAGGUAGGCGACGACGUAGGCGAGCUCGACGCCGCAGCCGAAGCCAUUGAUGGUGAGCAGCGGCCUGGAGUUGCCCUUGAGCAGCGCGUAGAGGAUCCACAGCGUCGAGCUGAAGAGCGCCACCACGUAAGGCACCGCGCUGAACCCACCCGUCGUCUUCUUCCUCACCACCUGCACGAACGUCGUCCUGCAAAUUAAAGAGCUUGAGCUCAUCAUCAAUGGCGGCUGAGAUUGAAAUCGAUAAAUCAAAUCAAUGGCUGAAAUUGAUAGAGAUGGAGGAUUAAUUUGUGCUUACACUGGGGCGAGGAAGACGAGGAAGGAGAUGACGUUGCCUGCAGUACAGUGGAUCAGGAAGGGGAAAAUCGACGCCGUUAGUUUUGUUUUGUUUUGUCAGUGUGAUCACUGUGAUGUGAGUGAGAUUUCCUUUACUAAUCAAAAUUCUUUUUUGGUAAUGCGGUUUUGUUUGUUAAUUUUGUGCGUGCAGAGCAGGUGCAGAUGGCAAGGAAGGAAGGGAAGCACGCAUCCGUCGCGGCUCAACCAAUCGCGUGCUAUUUUCAAGAAAAUAUACAGGGUCUGCCCCGGCGGCCGGGCUGUUUGGUAAGAACGGAUUAACUUAGAUGGAGCUAGUAAAUGAAAUGCUAUUGUAGUUCUGUCCUCACUGAUCAAUUAAUGGAGUCUUGGUUUUCUUGCUAGAAUUGGGAGGCGGUAGGUAAUUCCGUCGUUCCUUGGUGUGUGCUUGAGAAUUGCUGCUGAGAGCUAGCCGGCCGGCCGGCCUACACAUACUCUUGCUAGGGCAUAUAUGGCUUGUGAAAAAAGGUAGAGACACUAUAUGUAUGCAAGGUCAGAAAGCUCAACAUGAAAGGUGUGUGUGUGUGUGUGUGCUAAUGACCAAGAAUUCAAGAUUAUUAUAGGCAUGAUCAGGAACUAAUCAAGCUGCAUUGAUUUGAUAUAUAUUUUCUCCAUGAACAAAGCAACUAGUAACAUAAUGUACCUGCGAUGCCGGAGAGGGUGAUCGCCGGGUGAGCCAUGGAGAGGAAGCCGGCAGCCAUUGCAGUAAGGACUCUUGAUCAGCUACUAAUUACUAUAAUGUAGAAAGAGCGAGGAGGAGGAGAUCUCAGCCAAGCUAGACCCUCUUCCCUACUCCCUUUUGUGACACAAGACCAGAGGCACCCGGGCUCUGCAGAAGGAGAGACGAUGGGCUACUGAUGCUUGUGUGCUCUGGCCUCGGCGACGGGUGCCGGCUUAUAUAGUGCCGGGCAUCCCCUUUUUCUGGGUGCUGUACAGUAAGCAAGCCAAGCCAUUAAGCGACCCACUCUUCGUUCCUAGCCGUUAUUAUGGCAGAUAUACAGCUAACACAGACUGCUCUCUAUAGAUCGAUAUGUCUGCACAUUAAUUUGGAACUUGAUUAGGCACGAAUUAGUUAGCAGGGUUUGAUUUUAAGUCUCUCUAUCUCUUUCAUAGUAUGGCAAGGAUUAAUAUGGAACCCGGCUAAAAAAAAGGAUUAAUUUGGGAGUGGUUUAACUGUCUGAACAUUUUACUAGAAAACCACCACGUACUAUUAUGGCAGACCAUUGGAUUUGAACACAUGCAAAUAGAAGUUUCAGGCGACAUGCAUCAAUCGGAUUAUUAGCGGUUUUGACAGGCAGGAGGAUCGAUUAACUUUGGCACAAAAUUCUGUUUUUUCCAGAAAAAUAUGAAUAAAUCAAUAAAAAAUCAUGAAUAUAUAUGGUCUCAUGAGUAAUGAGUGGACCGGACUGUUAAAAAUGUCAGCCCAAACUGACAGUCGUUUACUCAAAAUCCAGUUUUCAAGUUUGACACUUUUGGCUGAAUAAUCAUAAACGGUACGUAUUUUUAGUAGCGGACGGUUUAAACAUCAGCACAAACUGAGCAACCGUUUGGUAAAAAAUUAUUGUUUGAAGAUUUUGAGAAUCGCUAAUCCACAUUUUGUUGAAACGAAAGGAAGGUGUUUGUCGAUUUGUUGCUGCGUCAUUGAUUUUUUUUGUUAGGCCAUAUGUUAAUUAUACUAACAUUCCAGAAGUUAGGAAUUGCUUCUCUGAAGGAUUGGAUUACAGAAGCUAACAAAAGAGAUAACCUAGUCAGCAUUACUUAAUCUCAGGAUCUGGUGCUCCUGGCUCACAAAAUUGCUAGGCUACGCCAAAAAACCAAAACAUUUCUCAGAAAAGAAACGUUGUUAGCUUCUGGUUAAGACGAUGUAGAUUUUCCUGAUAACAUAUUCCUGGCGGCAUUGCCCUCAGGAUAUCAAUGAGGAGAGGUGUUUCCCGACAGUAUCUUGCAGACGGGAAAUUCUCCGCAUACAUCCUGGUGGUGCGAAGACGGAAGACCGACAGAAGACCAUCUUGCAGAAAGUACUAAAACAACUUAAAUAUAUUCCCUUUUGCUUCCUUAGCGAAGGUAUGUCAUUUCCCAAAGAUCUUUUGGUUCACAAAAGGGAGAAGAUACAGUGAAAGUGAAAAGAACCCCUUCACGCACACAAGCCUUCAACAUGAACAGUUGAGCCGAAAAGAGCUGAUGAGAUGUGUGUUGACUACAUCACCAUUGGUGAACUUGAACACAGGUACAACAGCAUCUUCCAUGAGCUCUGAAAAGUGACUUGAUCAAGAACAGUAGUGCAUAUAUUGUCCUCCACUCAGCUAGAUAUGAUCACAGUUCUGAGAAACCGUGUGAAUUAGUACUAUCAGUUAGCUGGAAUUGCUUGCAGUUGAUACGGGAUACCAUUUCUGAAGACCAUUCUGUUACUAAUACUUUAUAAAUGUUGUUAUAUGGACUAUUAUUUCUCCUUCGGAAAGUUAUGGAAUAGUAUUAGUUUGAAGAGCAAUUAUUAUAUGCUAAACUAGAUAAAAUGCCCAUGCAUUGCUAUGAAGUGAAAUUAAAACUAACUUAAAUUUGUGACACAUCUAUCUACCAUAUGGAAUAUUUGGCAACUAGGGUAAUUUCUUGAUGAUUUUGUGGUAAUACUGAUGGAAAUGAACAGAUAACCACCAGCUUAGAUCACUAUAAGCAUAAAAAUAAUCUCAAGGAAGAUUACAAAUAUGAUUAUUAUCUUUUUUUUGCGGGUAACAAAUAUGAUUAUUAUCACCACUUAUGAAUUAUGAUUGCAGGGUCUUUAUUUUGUGGAGAAACAUGCUUGAUGAGUUACAUGAAAAGUUCAUUCCGAGGGUCAGGUUCAUCAAGCCGAAAAUUGAUGUUGGAGAUUCGGUGGUUAAAAAUUCAGAGUUCACUCUUUGCAGUACUGUCACUCAGUCCCUCGUUGCCUUCGUAUUAAUUAUUUGGCUCUGAACCGAGCAUAUAAUUCAUGUCCAUAAACAAGCAUCUUUUCACCAAAAGAAAUAAAAGGUCAAGAAACAAGCUCUGGUGUUCAUAAACAGUCUCUUUUUCUUUCCAAAUCCCAGAGACUUGGAAUUCAGAGUUUGUGCUCCUUCAGGUUCAUAGAAGCUAACUGCAUGCAAAAGCACAUCACGUUAUUGAUACAAUUCCAGAGCUUGGAAUUUUUUGGAUGAAACUUUCCCUGUAUGAUACAAUUUGUUUUCGCAAAGCUAGCUCUUGAGUCAGCAACACUGUCGUCGUGCAACAUUAGACAUGUAAAUGUUGAGAAAAAUGAGGAGGGAUUGAGCAGGUUCUAGGUGGCCACUUUGAAAAGAAAAGCAAUCAAAGUUAGCACAAACAUAUAUCACAUAGUUUCUUGUACACAACAGGAAUGCUAAAUCCUUUAGCGAAUGACAUUUUUAGCAACACUUGUUCAACUAGGCCACUUUCCGUCCACAGAAAUGCAUGGUGCUAGCUAGUCCACUGCUAUUUAUGUUUCAUAGAAGCAGCUAGCUGCCCCAAAGAUAACAGAUUUGCUCUGAAGUGCUGUUCAAGUAGACAUGUAGCUGGCCUCCAAUAUUUACCUGUUCCCAAAACUUGGUGGAGGAAUGUAAUUGACUCCAUGACUAAAUUCAGGCACACCUUUCUUCAUCAAUGAACACGAGGGCUCCUCACUGUUAUCCUUUAAUAUUCUUGAAGCAAAUUAUUUUGGUGGCUUGUAAAGAUCACAAACAAGAGAAGUUCAGCUUGCAUUGUUGUGUCAGAAUUAAUCUGGCUGAUGAGGAUUACUAAUUAACUCGCUGGUCUCAAAUUUCUUGCCCGUAGCAGCAAUCCAACAUCCAAUUACAGGAAAAGAUGGCGGAUACGUGUGAUCGAUGUUUGCUUGUGUUCUCAUGGCUCAUCAGGUUGUUGCAUCAGUCCACCUCAAAUUUAUACUAGAUGUGGCAGUUAGUUCUUAUCAUGCCAAUAUUACCUAGCAGUUGUUUCAGAAGGCAUGCAAAAAUGAAUCCAUGCUAAGAGACAGGCACACAAAGGUGAUAAGCUCUGUUAUUCUAUCCUGUCCAAAAAUUCAAAAAGGACAACCAGAUCAGGAUAUUCUUGACAGCAACCACUUUGACCUUAGUGCAGAUUUUGCCGUAACAAAGCUACUAACUCUUAGGCUAGCGUUUAGGCAGCACUAUGCUCUAUUUGUGUACGAAAGCUACCAAAGGCAGCUUUCUCUCCCAGCAGGUUCUACUCAAGAUGGUUAAUCACAUGUUCUCUUCCUAAAAAGGAUAACUAAUUAACAAUUACUCAAGUGAAGAGUGAGACCAGUAGAAUAUCUCACCCAUGUUUUGUAGGUGGAGAGGUGAUAAUUAAUUUUUUUUUCUCUCUGCUGCUACCCUUUCUGACUUUUGGCUGCAAUUUAACCCCAUCAUGAACUGGGAGACUGGAAUUAAGGUGUGGUUCCUAGUUGCAUAGUGGGCUUCUACAAGGUUUGUUGCCAGUCCCAGUGCACAUUUCUUGUUCAAGAGCGGCACAUCUGAUCCUAUGCAUGAUCACCAUGUCUCCCCUGUCAUUUCUGUUUCCAAUCUCAAGGUCUCAGGAUUCAAAGUAUAGUCCCACAACGCCGAUCAAUUUUCUGGAAAUAAAUGAAGCAACGGUAUUCUGAUAUUUAAGAACGCUCAUGAAUGUCUUGAACUGUUUCUUUUCUUUUCUUCAUACACAUAUACUUCUUGGAAGUACAGUUAAAUGUAGCAUCUUCUGAAUGUGACAAAUUGACACUAUCAUAUAUAUGAAAAUGUAAAUCUGUAGUUCUUAGUUACAGUACUAAUUAAGUAAAAAACAAAAAGUUCUUUAGACAUGGUGGCAUACGAUCGAUCGGUUUGGAAAUAUGACUCUUUUUUUAGAUAAUGGAAGAGUCUUCUCUCUUAUUUUUUUCUGACAGGGAAGAGUCUUCUCUCGCUCGACCUCUGCAUCUGGAUGCAUACAACCAAGAUCAGUAUUGAAUUUGGAUUCUAGUUCACCAGAAAAGUUCCAUCAAAGUAAAUUGCGCACAUUUUAAUCGACUUGUCAAGGAACAUCAAGCACACUGAAUCACUCGAAAGAAAACAAGGAUAUAUUAGUACUACAGUACAGCAACUUUAUAUCCAUCUAACUUGGCUAGGUCACACAGAACAAACCAGGGAACAUAACAGCCGUGUCAGUUACCAACUAAUUAAGCUAAAUCUGAUGAUAGCUAAGGAUCGCUGUCGCUUCUGGACCCCUCAAACAAUCAUAAUGAAAGCCCGAGACUAAGUCCCAUAUAUAUAUAUUCUCCAUGUUGCUAAUUGCAGGCACACUAUCUGAAAAUCGUGUAGGAUUUUUAUUACAUUUAGACCUGAUCAAAUCAAAAGGAUCACACAAGCAAAAACGACCACUGUCUGAAAUCAAAACCAAUGUUGUACGUGUCGGUAACUCGGUAUAUCAGCAUGAGCUAGAAAAGAUGACAUGUCUAGGCCUCUGCAUCUGCACACAACCAUUUCUAAUUCUAUUUGUAAGAGUCGAUCUUAUUUGUAAGAAAUGCAGAUCUUUCUGACCUAGCUAGGUAGGCACGCAAGCAGCUCGAGCUAGCUAGUGCUGGUAAUGGUGUGCCCAUUUUCCCAAUCUUGUUUCACGCACGAUCAAGAUCAUGGGGAUAGGGGCAACUUGGGUGGUCAGCCCCCAGGAUUUACUAGUGGUGGUUGCAGUAGAGGGUUAUUGCCUUUUCCCCUUUCUAUCUCACCUCAUCUCUUGAUCCUCUCUUCCAUUCCAUCUCGGCCAUUCGUACAUCGCAAACGCCAUUAUAUUUCACCUAGCUAGCUCCCUGCCCUUCCGAUUCGAAGAGCAGACUGACCAUAUCUUGCAGAAAAAAUGGGUAUGAUUAUUCAUCGUGGCAUAUCUCAGUGAUGUGGUUUGGGGGCCAAGUUGGCCAACUCAAAGUUAUAACUAAGCAGAUAGCCCCAGAAGAAAACCGACAUGAGUACAACUAAGCAGAUCGAAUGGAAUGUCUUUUUCUCCUUUCGCGAUUUUGACCAUAUGGAAUCUUCUUGCCAUGCAUUUUUUGGUGUUUAUUUUCAGUAUCACCAGAAUUUUCUGAUCCAGGUGCAUAUAUGCAAACGUGCAGCUGAUGAUCUGGCCGUUGGUUCUUCCACAAUGGCAAGUUGAUGGGAAGGAUCCAGAUUAUUCUGAUGAAUAUCUCAUCCUAUGUGCUUUUAGCCUAUGUGGCCACACACACUGGUGCAUUAUUAAAGUGCGUGAGUGUGAGGCAAUGUCGUCGCGUGUACGAGGUUUUGCAGUUGCUUUUUCUCCAGUCAACAUAAAAAAUGAAACAAAGUAAAAUUCAUUCUAGUUGCCGAAGCACCCAUAGCUAGCUUGGCCUACCAAUCAUGGAGCGCCCAAUCAUACUGGAACAACAGUAUUGCAGGUCUAUUACCUAUAUGGAGUAUAUAGUACAUACAUGGGAGUAGAUAGACAAAUAUACCUCUUUCAUUUUUAUUGAUUGAUAAAUGAUUAGGAUGAUCAUCUUUUUGUGGCAAAAUCUCUCAACGGUAUGAUUCGAAAGAAAUUUAUGUGCUAAAUUGGCCUUUUUUCGUACCGUAAAAUUGACCUUUGUUAUAAGAGAAAUGCACACUAACAUAUACAACAUUUUUAAUAUAUAUGUUUUUUCAAAAAGGAGGGAACACCAUCGGUCUCUGCAUCGAUGGAUGCACGCAACCCUUUUUAAUAUAUUUUCUGAAAUUGGUAAUUUUGUCUUGGAAAAUAUUUAGGAGCACACAUUAUGGUGUGUGCGCUUUAUGAUGAUGGUCGAUUUGGCAUCAGCCAUAGUGGCAUUGUUUUUUACAAGGUUCUUUUUUCUAUAAAAAAAAUCCAAGUUAUGUAUCCAGGAUCUAUGUGUUCGAGAAGUCCAUGGUUGUUUUAGCUUGUAUACGUAGUACUUCAUAGGUUACAUCGGCACUCAAGUAAUUGAUGAUUGUUAGGGUGUGUCAUUGUCAGUUAGCUGUGUGAGCCAACGACUAAGCACUCAGUACAUAUUUACAUCUAUCCAAUUCACCUUAAAUACAGCGUGUCUCAUAGCCAAUCUUGAAGUAGAAAUAUCUUUCAGGAAAACAAAUUAAGUAUGCAUCUUUUAAUCUUACCAGCCCUAGCUCCUAUAAACAGAAACCAAAUGUGCAGCUUCCCCAUGCAUGAAUGAAUCUGGUUUCUAGUUUAAAAAAUUAAGUUCUGUAGGGAAAGAAAAUGGCUUCACAAUAAGGCCACUUCUAUUUCACAUGACUAAUUUCAAAAAAUGUUGGAGGAAUUAAUAAAAAUUCUCACUCAUAAAAAAUUACUCUCUCCGUUCCUAAAUACUUGUCGUUGUUUUAGUGCGAACUUGUACUAAAACAGCGACAAAGUAUUUAGGAACGGAGGGAGUACUAUAUUCCAUCUGCCACCCCUUAUUUUCUUGCUGGUUUCAGGUUAGUGAACUUGGUGCCGUGUACUUGGACACGAUGCCUCAGCAGCAAGCAAGAUGCAAAUAAAUAUAGCCAAGAUGAGGCACAUUGACAAUUCUAACGCCUAUUUGUCAGCAAGUAACCAGCCAGUCCCGUCCACAUCGUCGCUGCAAAAGGGAAUGCCCAAAAUAAGGAAGAAGUUCCAUAAAAACUGCAGGCAUAUCUACAAUGGCAUCGAGUGGCACUUUUUCUCGACGUUUAUUUCUUUUAAAUAAACUCCUCACCGUUGAUUUCUAUAUUCUCUCCGUUUCCCAAUAUGAUGCGUAUUUUAUUUUCCAUGACCACCAUGGUCGUCCCUGUGCAUAUAUAAUUUCUUUUGAAAAAUGCCAAUUAAGUUCGAUCUAUCUUGCCAGAAACUGGCAUGCAUGCAUGCAUGCAUCUCCGUUGAAAAGCCCACGGCUGGUUGCAUGCAUGCAUCUGGUUUCUGGCCAGUUUGAUGAUCGACUUAGCUGGAAAUCUAUAUGCAUGCCUAGCUCAGCAAACAAGAUCUCCUUUUCAGAAGAAGAAAAUAAAAGAGAUCAGCAAGAUGCAAAUGUAAAAAGGACAAAUUAAUUAAGCUUAUGUCAGCAUGCAUUCACUCCCGUCCGGCCAGAUCGUAGCCGCAAAAGGCAAAAGGAACCUUUCCAAGCAUGCAAGAACGCAGCCAUUGGCGCUCCGCUCAGAGCUCGAUCCAAAAACUUCCAAGCAUAUGCAAAAGCUCAGCCAUUGGCUAUAUUUGGUUCUGCUCGAGAUCCAAAAACCCUUGUUGACGCGACCCCCGAUGCCCGGCCGGCCGUCCAGUGUGGCGCACAUUGGCGGGUGUGAAAAUUUGCAUGUACACCAAAACUACAAACUAUACCGUCAUGUCACCGACACAUAUAUGGCCCUACCAAAAUUCAAAAGGGUGAUCUAGCUAGCCGUCACUGACAUACAGGCCCCACCGCUACACAAUGUGCAGUUUGCAUUUAGGCUGAAACCUCGUUAACAUUGUCGAAGUGUAUCAAGACCUUGGUUGCGAUACCAUUUCAAGCUUCAUGAUAUAGCCAACGAGACUAAAAAAACCGAUCUGAUGAAAAGAGCUGGACAAUUCACUUAUAUACACUUCAACAAAACAUUAGACACUUGUCCCGCACAGUUGUGGCGCGUGUAGGCAACAUGUACAGCUGUCUUGAGUACAAGUGGCAAAGUGGAAGAGAUGGAAACCAAUACAGCUGGAGGAAAGAAAAGAUGUAUGCCAAAACAAUGUGUGCAUGCAGUGCAGGGGUAUAGAGGGCGGUAUAGCUAGGAAGGAAGGGUUUUGGGGACGGAAUGUUGUGAGGCUGCUAGCUUUAGUGGUUGGGAGCUGAGGUAGCAACUGGCAGGAGGCAACUCAUAUCGAUCUGCAGCAGCAAGUUGCUUGCAAAUUUGGGAACAGAAUACACUACCUCGCAUGCAGCUAGCUAGCUGUUGCUCACUCACUCACAGACUCACUCCAAGUUUCACCUUUGCGCCGGCCGGCCGGCCGUUGGCGUGCUAAUUCGUUCCAUGCAUCUACACAUCACUCUGACUCGAUCGGCUGGCCCUGCAUCUGCAUGCGUAUGCUCCAUUAGCUAGCUUUGGAGAUAUCUCUACGCCCACUAUCUGCCGCAAUUUGCAUGUAGCUUAAGACCUGUCACAGCUUACGAGGUAGCUAGCUAGCUAGGGAUAUUAACAAGUGCUUGCUCGAGCUGGAGGUCACCAUAUUAUGAGCAGCUAGCACUAAGCAAGCAAGCAAGAAAGUAUGAUGUGUCAGUUGGCUGAAGUUGUACACUGUUUACGUCACUGAGGCUGAGAGACUUGGACUGACAGAGAAGAGCAUGUGUGUGAAGGAAAAGAAAGAAUACAGAGUAUAUUCAUAUAAACAUGGGCAGCAUGUGCAAGUAUACGUACGUACGGAUGUGUAUAUAGCUAAGCUCGAUCGCCAUUUGCCGGCCAGUUGCUGAUGCGAUUGGAUCCACCAACCGGAUAAGUCGGCCAGAUGCACAACGUGAAAGAAAGAAAAGAAAAGAACCAACGAUCGGGUGCAAUUAUUAUCAUGAUUCAUCAGUUGUUACUUGUUGGGACAGGAAUUCGUCAGUGUUUGGCGUACCACUGCACAUAUAGCACCGUACGUCGCCUACAAAAAGAUGUUUGUUUUUGUUUGUAGAAAAAACAAAUGUGCGUUGGGAACUGAACUAAAUUACGGAGUAGUAUAUAUAUCCAGGUAUCUAGCUGGAUGGAUAUUGGUCGGCUCGAAAUUAACCCGAAACAAACGCAUACGUGUGUUGCGUUCAGGUGUUUUUGGGUUGCAGUGUACGUACGUACAAGUACAACAACGUUUACAGCCAGUCAGACAGUUUCUGACGGCACGUCUGUCUGCAGCUGCUGCCGCUGCCUGCGCUUCAGAGCCAGACAACGAUGAGAUUUAUAACACACGCGCAAGACCCUUGGGAAAUCGAAAAUUCCUUUGAAGUACUGUAGACUAUGCACUGCAUGCAGUGACUUGCUCUCCCGUCUCCUGUAUCAAUUUAUCUACUUUUCCACGCACGCAAACUGAAGCACCAACAAAGAAACAAACACAAUCUGUCCAGUAAUAUACACAUAUAUAUACAGCAUUACACAUACAUCAUCCCAAGCAGACCAUCCGGGGCCGGAGCUUGAGCUACUUUCUUAACACACCAACCAUCACCAAAUAAACACAACAACAGAAGCACGACCGAUCUGAUGCACUGCACUACCCGGCACGGAAAACAGGAAGCGUCUUUUUACAAAUUACGCACACUUGUCCGAGAGCUUUUACCCUUGCCAAACACACCACACGUUACUCUCUGUUCAGGACCUGAGCCACAGCAGCACGCUGCAUGCAAGAGUUGGAGUGAUCUGUACUUUUAGUUUCGAUUUUCGCUAAUGUGUGCCCAUCGUUGGGAGAUGGCUGCCUUUGUUAGCUUCCUCAGCAGGCGCUGUUUGCGGAGAGUCGCUGUCCAAUGACUCCGAGGUCCCAGUUCUGCGGUCCCAGCUUGACCGCCUCGAAUGCGUGCCAGCUUGGCCUUCCACGAGCUCAGGUUGAAGAUCGUCAUCUCCGCUUACAUCUGGGGAUGCAUGGGUUAACCUGCCCUCUUUCUCAUCCAUGGAGCCACCGAGACCAACUUCCAGGUCUCCAAUAUGAGCUGCCGUCCUCGGCUCAUCCCAAGAUCCUGGCUUCCUGCCCAUUUCAAGAUCUCCAACGGGCUUGCCCAUGUUCGGGCUCAUGAAACCCCUGGAUGACGACCGUGCUUCUUGUACCCCUUGUUCUACCGUGACCCUUGCACGGAAAUUGUUCUUUGAGGGAGGAAUACGGCUGGAGAAUAUCUCUAGAAUGUUGCUCAGAACACCUCUGUUAUACGGGUUUGUGCGACGAUCGUAGCGGUACCUGAAAUUUUCGUAUGUUGUCUGCAAAAGAAAAUGGGUACAUAAUUAGCUACUGAGUUGCAAGUGCUGCGAUUAGGAGAUGCCAAGGUGGCGAUUGAAAUGAACUAAUGGCUACCUGGUUAGUGCUCAUGAGAUAGAAAUGGAAGACUGACAGACCACCGACAAACCAUACACAAAGAAAACAGUAAAUAAUCAGAACAAUUGAAGCUGGUGUCUUCAACAUUGCCUUCCAAAUUGACAACUGCUCGGCUUCUCUAAUCUUGAUUAUGUACACCCAACAGAAGGCAAAUACAUAGAGGCAGAUUAAUGUGGUGGAGAAUACAAACAUGUAGAAGAACCGAUAAUUGCGCUGCACCAAAUAUAUGCUUAUGAUUAGGACAAGCUGAUAUUAAAGAUAAGUCAAUGGAACUCCUAUAAUGAAAAAUGUCUGCACAAAGUGCAACUGCAAGGUGCUUAGAAAAAGAAUAAAGAACGGCUAGAAAACACCAACCGUACCUGUCCUAUGCAUUGGCCAACCCAUGGGCAGUGAUGAUCAAACCGUUCCACACAGUUAUUGCAAAUAGAACAGUGUGAACAUCGGGGAGGCCGGUACAGCAAGCAGGUGUCGCAGUAUUUAACCUUCACACUGAUUCCAUUUACAAUGACAUCCUUUGUCCGAGGCAAACGGAAUUGCUGGGGUGUCUGCCCUCUACUAUAAUUGCUCCCAUCAACGCUUUCAGGUUCAGGAGGAUAAGUAUUUCGAGGUAUUAUACCAGGGUCUCUACCAGAUGUAAGAAGAAGUAGGAUCAAAUCCUAGGAAAGGAAAAAGAAGAGCAGUUAUGCUUAAAUUUCCCCAAAAAAUGCAUCCCCUAUGAAAUGCAUGCAAUUUUACAGGGAGAAGUAAUGGCCAAGAAUUUUGCUUCUGGUCAUAAGAGGUAAGAAAUAAAGUAGUUAUUGUAGUAGUAUGCUUACAUAAAUGGUGAAGACAACUACCACUACCAUCACUGAGAUACCCCAAUGAUUAGGAAAGUCAUUCAUGAGGUGUCUGGCAACAAACACACAGAACACGAGCACAGGUGCAACAAUGAGGGACAUAGUGAGAAAUAAGGAUCUAGCAUCAGGCCCAAAUAUAAACCUCCCUUGCAAGAAGAAUUUCUGCAAAAUGCAAACACAUAUAGAUAUCAUAAAAAAAUCAGUAAUAAAGUUAGGAGAAAUCAUAACAAACAUGAAAUGCCUAUAAUAUAAACAUUCAGACAAGUCAAAUAGCAACAUAAGCUCUCCUGUGAAGCCCUGCAAGCUGCAGGCAGUUAGUAGUUUGGAGGAGAUGAAGCUUAUAUGUGCUUUAAGUUGAACCAUACCAAAACAGGACCUGGUGAUUGGCAUCUCAAGAGGCCACUUAGCUAUCAUAAAUGCAUAAGCUAAAGAAGUGUGUAUCUUUCACAGAUGAUCAUUCCAGAUCGUACUCAUAUCAACUGGACAGACAUAACAUUACCAUGCUAAGUGUACAGAAGAGAGAACAGAAUGGAACCUAUCUCGGGCUCCGGAGCCCUAUGCCAAAGCUCAUGAAAAUAUGAACACGGAGACAAUCCAUACUAUCUAAGAGCUAGCUAGAAUAAUUGUCGGUCAACUCAAUCACGAAUUAUGCCAAGGCAAACAAAAGUAUCACAAUACAGAAACAAAAAUGCUAGGUACUGACAGAGUUGAAACUCAGGAAACGAUAAACUACCCAAGCUGUCCGAAGUUAUCAAUGUAGUAUAAUACUCCCUCCGUUCCUAAAUACUUGUCGUGGUUUUAGUGCAAAUUUGUACUAAAACCACAACAAGUAUUUAGGAACGGAGGGAGUAUUUAGUAACCGCAAAAGAACUUGUCGUUGUAGGUGUAUUUGUGACAUCUUUACAGUUUACACGUAUAACUCCUUACUCCACCAAGUUGCAUUUCGACACACGUGUACUAAAUGAAAUCAUUUCCAGCUAAAGCAUAGGUAUCCUGAUCCUCAGUUCCUCACAUAUAUAUCAUAAAUGAGACUACGGGUUCAUCUUAGAGACAUAGACCAAUCAUCAAAAUGGUGGACCAAAAAACUCCAAGUGAACUCUAUUGAUUGCCCUGCCCCUGCUCGAAACAAGACAUAUGUAUCACUCGAAUCUAUCCAAAUGAGCCACAGGCAUAUUCAAGUACAGCUUACACAAUAGCUGUCCAAUAAUGAUGAUUUAUUAACGGCCCAAUUCACCUAGUCGACUGAUCCCCCGACCAAUUCCAGUGCAGGUAAACAUUAGCCACGCUUGGAACAAAAGUAAAUUCAGUUUCGCCGAUACACCUAACCGAGUAGCAUAUAGCUUAUUCCACAUGGGGGGUAUCCAGAACCAAAAUCCCCCGUACGGCGAGAGACAGGAUGCACAGACAGGGGAGCAGAAAGAGAGAGCUUACGUUGUUUCCGCGCCAAACCUGGUAAACCCUAGGCUGCUCGGCGUCGCGGCCGCCGCCAUCGGAGCGAGAGGGCCGUGGCACGUACAUCCCCGCGCCGCAGAGGCAGCAAAGCAAACCCUAGGGGAACCUCCCCCGCCUCGUCCUCUACGGUGGAUGGCUCGCUCACCCCACGCACGCACGCGCCCAGCCCGCCUCCUCCUCCUCUCCCCGCGGAGAAGACGUCCCAGGCCGCGCCGCCGAGGUUCCCUUCCCCCGGCGAAGGAAAAGGGGCCGCUGCAGCUGCGGCGGCGUGGACGAGGCGCGGAAGGUGGGAGGGGGCAAAGAAGGUCUUCGGGCUCGCGCUCGGUCAGGGCGGACGACGGGGACGGGGAAGUGGUCGCGUGUCCGCGUCUGACUGGCCGCCAGCGUUGAUGUCCAGUCAAGACGUAUCACCUGGGCCGGCUUCUGCACCCUGGCCCAUGAAUUCCACUCGUAUUGGGCCUAUCAAUUUGCACAUUUUCUAUAUCGAAGGGAAAAGAAUGCUUAUCAUUAGGGUUCUAUCUACUCUCAAAAAAAAAAAUUAGGGUUCUAUCUACUAAUCUUGGUCAAGCAAUCAUAAUCUUGGUCAAGCAAUCAUGCUCAUGCACUAACCAACGCAACUAAAAGACCAAUUUGAUGAAAAUGGCAGACAAUUACGCUUCAAACACUCUUGGCGAAGAAAACUCUUGAGAUGUUGGCGAUAAGUUUCAAAAGUAAAAGCUCGCAUAGAAGAUGCAAAAUAUAUAUUACAGAAAAAGAACAUGACACCACAAUGGAUCUACCGUCUGACAACUCACCGCACAAUUUAUUCUUGCUCAGAGCACACUCAAAUGUGGACAACUGACCUCAUUUUGGCAAAUACAGCACAUAAAAAGUUCAAGCAAGACGCAUAAUAUUCUAGGUCGAUACAACUGAGAAUAGAUGAAAACAUCCCAUAACAAUAGCUUAAUUUAUACCACGGAAUAUCGUAUCUCCUACAGGAUUAAUACUGGCAGUGCCUCGCAGGCCAAUCAGUUUCACUUGUGGACUCAUCAUCGCCUUCACGUUGAUAGUUCGGGUUGGCCUCUUCCUUGACCUUACUGUUGAUUAUAGCGGUCAGGUGCAUUGCCGUAGAAACGGCCGCCAUGACUUUCGUGAGGGGGCGUGUUGCCACCUUGGUAUCCAGGGUUGCUGCCAGGGUGUGCAGGGCCAGGGCCACCUUGGUAUCCAGGAGGCCCGCCUUGGUUACCAGAACCCUGGUACCCAGGAGGUCCGCCUUGGUUACCCUGAUACCCAGGAGGUCCGCCUUGGUUACCCUGAUACCCAGAAGGUCCACCCUGGUAGCCAGGAGCACCGCUUUGCUGAUAGUUUUGUGCACCACCAGGUGCAUAGCCCGGCUGACUUCCCUGUGUGUACCCUGCCUGCGGGUUUGGCAUGUGGGGUGAACCGCCUGGUGUGUAAGCUGCCUGUGGGUUCUGCAUGUGAGAUUGAUAAUGCGGUGGACCCCCAGCCGUAUGCAGUGGAGGCGGUGGUGGAGGCAUGCCUCUGUUCUGGCCCGGUGGUGGUGGAGGGCUGUUGAAGCCCUGGCCAGGUGGUGGUGGAGGGCUGUUGAAGCCCUGGCCAGGUGGUGGUGGAGGGCUGUUGAAGCCCUGGCCAGGAGGUGGUGGAGGGCUGUUGAAGCUCCCAGGAGGUGGGGGGGGGCCUGGGGGACUGUUAAAGCCCCCAGGAGGUGCAUCUCUGUUCUGGAAGUUCUGCUGAUUCUCUCUUCUCCUCUCAAAGUUCCUUGACCUGUCAAAGUUGCGGGGCCGAUCAGUGCGCCGAGACCUUUCAUUGGCACGGGCAUUGUUCCUGACCCACUCCUCGUGGUAUUUAGGGUCAUAAGGAACAGCUUCCCCAUUUAUAAAGGGCUCCCCUGAAACAGAAGGCAGCAAGUGCUUAGAAGAUUUCUUCACCAAUUCCAGUCACAUAAAUGCAUAUGCUUUCUACAAUGAUAAAUAUGCCCAAACUCGACAUGAUUAAUUUAGUUCCAACACAGGUGCACAUAAAAGAACGGAGAUUAAUCCCCCAAACAUCAUCUGGUGUUGCUUAAAACUUGCAUGCUAGUUAGUUAAUUAAACAGUGAUGAGUUACAGCAUACAGAUAAUGCAAAGAAACUGCCAUCUUACAUGCUAUGUCAAUCCAUAUCAAGUUCGGAAGGGCAUCUUGCUAAAAAAAAUGGUGGAUUCACGCACAGAACACACAUAUGGCAGUGUGAAAAUAAUAAUUUGAGUAGAUUAGACAAAUCCCAAAGGUUCGGACUCUGGCUGACACUUCUUACAUUCAACAUGGAGUCUUAAUCAUUUGUAUUUGACCAAUAUAUGUUAAGGCAGGCUGCUUGCAUAACAUUGUGUUGCACAAAAAGAACAUACAGAUCUGAAUUUCUCAGUCUACAAAUACUAUGAUAAUAAUAUUGAGAUCAGAAGGGAAGGGAACAAGCAACACAUAUUGCCAUCGAGGAAAGCAAGAAAAAGGGCAAUCGAUCAGAAAGGUCAGAAAAGGCAAGAAAAAUGUGAUGGCCCAUAACUAAUUAGAAGGUCAGCACAAUCAUCAGUGAUAGGAAAAGAGUGAAUAAUAUUAUUAAUAUAGAGACAUGUGUCAUAAUUACCUCCAUAGUCCUUGUUUCUUACAUCCAAGUAUGAGUCUGGGAGGACCCAGCGGACCUUGGGCAACUCUGCAAAUGAUUAAGAGGCAUAAGGUCCAAGCAAGAAUAUAUUAAACUUAGUGUAUAAAGUACUAAUACCUUUGAGUUUGUAAGAGAGUUCCUCAGAUACAAGGGCACCAAAAGCAAAGUAGUGACGAGUUGACACCGAGUAUAUCUUCUGCUUAGCCUCUUCCUCACUGGAACAUUAAAAAUUGAUUACAUCUGACAAGGUACAUAAAUCUGAACAAAGAAAAUGGAGGCAAACAUUGCAUGCUUAUCAGCCAAAAAAAAUUCCUGCUAAGAUCAUAACUACCUCGCAUAAAACUCAACCUGAAUUUCAGAUGAAGGUAAUGGGAAACCAUAUAUUCAUAAUAUAACAAAGAUCAAACAAAAUAACAAAGCACAAGUGUUGCACCCAAAUAAAUAUGAAAAGCAGACAGUCUAAAAUCAGAGAAAACAAUUAACACAAUGAGAGAUCAGUUCCAACUUCCAAAUUACACUAGAAAAAUAAGUGCAAUAACACGCUAUGUUCCUAGCUUUACUUAUGCCAGUGGUAAAAACAUCAACCAAGCAGAGCACCGCCUUUUCACAUAAGCACACAAACUCACACCAGACAGAAAACAUAACAGCGUAAUCACAUUUGAUACAAGAUUAAAACCCAAAAUUCUAACAGAAAGAAAUGGACCCGAUAAAUUAAGCCCUUAUAGUCAGAUUACUGAUACCAAGAAUUCAUUCAGAUCUAAACAAUAACCCGUUAAACUACCAAUUUCUACAAAUCUAAAUACUAGUGGGUGAAUCGAGGCACCGACCGAAAUGGCCCAGCAUAAAUAUAUCCAGCGAGAGCGUGGUAUACCUUCCGACGAUCUGGGCGAGGGUCUUGAUGUAGCUAUCGAUGAUCUCGUCGCGCGUGAUUUCGGGGUUGGAGGCGUCGCCGGGGGGCGGCUCCAUGACGACGAGCCAGUGCUCGAAGUCGCACCCGUCGAGGAGGAUCGUCUCCUUGGGUGGGCGG